This 57918-nucleotide long non-coding RNA is filed under the name Sorghum bicolor (sorghum). RNAcentral's name for it is "long non-coding RNA (SBIC_LNC000806)". The stretch from base 23979 to 24085 matches the Rfam family "Plant small nucleolar RNA R71". Lineage: Eukaryota; Viridiplantae; Streptophyta; Magnoliopsida; Poales; Poaceae. The record is from RNAcentral.
UGCUUUGUUCUUGUGGCUUCUGGAGUCUUCUAGAUGGUAGAAAAUCACGCGGUGCGUUGAUAUCUCUAUGUAAUCCCGACAUGUGGGCCUUUCUUUCUUAUUUCCUGAUAACCCCCUGCAGAAACAGAUAAACAACAAAACUCGUGGAAUUCUGUCAGAUCAAACCCUAAUUCUAGGUGUUGGUUGCAUAUUGGUCCUUUCUCUUGUUUAUCUGAUAAUUAAAAUUGAUACUUAAGAACCGUCAACACCUUGUAAGCCCCAGCAGACUUCGUGGUGAUAGAGACUGGUACUGAUGAGAGGGCACCCAUCAUUCUAGGGAGGCCAUUCCUGAACACCUCGGGAGCUAUCAUCUAUGCUAGUGGUGCUAAGAUUAGUUUCUACAUCAAGGGUAGGAAGGAGACGUUUUCCUUCAAGAACAAGACUACACAAAUCUCAGAGCAAUUCCGACAUAAACCAAUAAAGAGGACCAACAGAAGGAACAGGAACAAGCAAAUGUGGACCGAGUCAGCUAAGAUGGUCACUGCAGUUCGAGGAGUCAGCUAAGAUGGUCACUUCCAGAAGAUGCUUUGCAACACCGGAUGGCAGAUCAAACAUUCCAAAAGAUUGAAGGUUAUUCACAUGGGAGAAGACGAGUACGAUCCACCCAUCAUCCUUGGGAGACAGUUCCAGAGCACCGUUAAAAUAAUCAUCUACAUUGGAACCGAAGAAGUCCACAUGAACUUCCCCUCUGAGAAGGUACACCGCUAUUUUACUAACCCUAACUAUAUAGUUGAAGACUCUAAGCAGGUCAAGACAAGAAGAAGACGACGCAACCGCAACCAGAGGAGGCAAAUUAUCAAGGACGGGGCAGACCAUGAAGGAGAAGUAGUAAGGUCUGAAGACAUACAGCUUGAACAGAACUGUCCUGAGGAGACCGUAGUACCGAGUCAGGUGUGGAGAGAGAAUAUAGUUAUACACGAAGAGGAGGCACCGCCGGAACCACCGACUACGCCAUCCAGCGAAUCCCAGGACGAAUGAGAAAACGGAGAGUCCCGUUCGGAGGACGUGAAAACACCGAACGCCUUGCCAAGAGGUAAACUUGGUAGUUAUCUUUUUCCUUUCAAUUAUUUUAAAUAGUUUGCUUAGUUAAUCAGGUUCAUAUCAUCUUGAAAAGAAAAUAAAAAUGUUAAAAAUAGUAAGCCCCAUGUGAGUAUGCUCAUGGCAUAAGACCCAUAAGUACAUUCACUGUGGUGGCAUAAAAAUAAAAUAAAUAUAUUCCUAUCCUAUAAAAAUAAAAUUAUAAAAAUAAAUUUAUGAUCCUACUAAAGAGAGUAACAUUUAUUGAGGAGACUCAACAUGAUAAAGGCUAGAUAUUUAUGCUAACACUUAACUAGUUCCACAAAGCUUUGUUGUCUAUUUGAGCUCCACAGAAUUCAAGGAUCAAAGAAGACUAGCAGAUGGAGGACAUCCUAAUCGCUGUCAGGGUGCUGCCGACAUUCAAAUACACCUCCGCCACCUACUACAUCAGAAGAAAUUACGUCAAAAUCCAACUUGGGGGAGAGCACCCCCAUUUAUCCAGCUAAGUGUUUCUACUCGCGUUUAUACUUUACUCUAAUAAUAAAAAGAUGCAUAAUCAUAAAAACCCAAAUAAAAAUUUUGUGCUUAUAUAUAUAUCUUUGCUUAGUUUGCUAAAUAAAUAAAUAAAUAAAAUUUGCUAUGAACCCUCAUGAUAAGCUCUCACAUGGAAAUGAUGAAUAUUUGCUCUGCCAUGUCUAAAUUCUCAAAAUUGAAAUCUCUCUCAAGUUUAGGCAUGACUGUUAUUAAUUAAGAUUUGCUCUAAACCUGAACUUGUGCGAAGAGUACUUGAUCUAAAGUCUAAGUCGUUAACGGAUACGAUAUGGGAAGGUUGGGCUGUUGUUUAUCUAUUCCUAGAGAUGCUAGAAUUGUGGAGAAUUUUAUCUUUGAAAAUCUUUAAAAUGUUGCAUGAUGAGUUCCUGUAUGAUGAGAGUUUAAAUUCCUACCAUAGCUAUAUAUACAUGCUUGUUAGACUUUGAGCCACACAUUUACUAUUUACUGCUUAUGAGCAUUGAGUGUGGUCAAGCUGUGUAGACCCUUAGGAGCUUGUCAUGUGGUUAAAUCAAGAUUCACUUGCACGAUUCACUCAUGCAUGCUGCUUCUACUCUGGAAGUACGCAUCCACAUAUAUCCACCCAUUUCCAUCUCUAGAACCACCCAAAAAUAUUCUACUCCUAAUCCGGGAGAGAAUAGCCAAAAACAUUCUUAUAUUCCUGUUUUCCCCUGUGAAAUAAAUGCUCAAGUUAUUUCGGUUACUACCACUUGCUACAUUAUUUCAAGAGAUGAGUGCUCUAAAAAAAGAGAAAGAAAGAAUACGAGGAAAUAAAAAGGGGGCAAGUGCCCGGAACCUCGAAAGAAAAGAAAAAGUGAGACGAGAGGUAAAAAUGGACAAGUGUCCGACAAUAGAAUUAGGGGUACAAGAUACCCACCUGAGAGAAAAGAAAAAGAAAAUACAGAGCAUCUCAUUCUCCCCAAAAGUUUCAAAAGAGCAAGGAAGGUAUGUAUCCCCUCAAAAGAGCAAAAGUAGAAUUAGACUUUCACCAUUGUUUUCACCAUUAUCACCAUCAUCACCAUACACCAUUCAUUCGCCACACAUGCACAUCUUGAUUUGACUUAUUGACUUGUUCUUCUGGAUCCAUGGUUUUACUAUGCAAUAAAUGUCUUGUAAGUAUGUAUUAGCUGUCUCCCACCUAUGAGCUCCAGAUAUUAAAACCUUAUUAGAGUAGGGUGAGAGAGAAGGCAAUGCCACUAUGCCUCAUACCAAAAAUACCACAUACUUUGAGAGAAGGCAUAUACCAUUACUGCCUCGGUAAGGAUCCAGAAAUACCACAAAAGAGAGACUAGAGAGAGUCAUACAAGGAAUCUCUGAGUUUUAUUUGAAAAUCUGCAAAAACUCCAGAGCUAUAGUUAAUCGAAGAACAAGAGACAUGGCGCUUGACUAGACCGUUCUAUCUUUUAACUGCUCAAGACACAAGUGACAGUUGCAAGCCCCAUGGUGGAAGGUAAAAUGAGUAAGUUUAAAUCUUAACAGUUUACCCUAACCCAGAGAUGAGAUCUUGUUUAAACGCAUGUGUACCUUUAAGGCAUGAAACCAUUGUAGAAACUCUUGAGUUCAUCUUUUCUUAGGGACGAGCAAAGGUUAAGCUUGGGGGAGCUUGUUGUCGAGGGUAUCGGUAAGGGGUACCCUCAGCGAUGCGCAUUAUGAGAUUGCCCGUACGAAGGUCGAGACCCUUAAUUCGACGCUCUAAUCUUACGUAUGCGCCGCCAUCGACGGUCGCAGCCUCGAAGACGGAAAUAGCGUCGAGCGAAUCGGUCAGGGCUCGAGCGACGACUACCGUCGAAAACGGAAGCGGGCUCGAGCGAACCGAGAGGCGUCGGGCCCAAGGACACUGUCCGCCGCCCGACGCGCGCACGCGGGCCGGAGCAUUAAAUGCACCUGACGCUUCCCCACCUAACACACAGGUCACGGAAGGCGUGAUAGGGAACAAGCUUCUGUCCCAUCGUUCUUUUUGCAGCCUUCCCACCGAACGACCCAGGGCGUGUCAGGACGCAGGAAACAAGGAUGGAACGUCUAAUCGGGACCCCCUCGAGACACCCAAGGUCAGCGCUCCAGAUACCAGCAUAUUACACGGCGUCCGACCCUCGACCGAACAGGGUCCCUUCCUAGGGACAAGUUGGGCGUCGACUGACAACACCACAGCUACCCCGCCGGGUCCGCCACCAUACCGUACGAGCAUGUGACCUCAGAACCAGCACAAGGCGGCUGGCAGGGCAAAACACAGGAGCACGCGUAAUCAUCACCGGGCUAUCAAGAUGGGACGGCUCGAGGCCAUGCCGUACGGAAGCCUCGAGUAGGUCAGCGUUCCAUGCGGCUAUCGAUCCCUACUCUAACAUCUACGCAUGUACCCUGUGUCUCUCCUUGGAGCUAUAAAAGGAGAGACUCAGGAAUAGAAGAGGGGGACAUCACAACACAAGACACACACACACUCACAUAGUAGAGCUACACACUUCAUACCACGCUUGUAUUCGCCCCUGUACAAGCACUUAGGUGCAAGAUAAUACAAACUCUCUCCCCCCCGCUGGACGUAGGGCCUUCUCUUGCCCGAACCAGGAUAAAUCUCUGUGUCUUCUUGCAUCACCAUCCGGAAAGGGGAGCACGCAUACAAAUUUACUCGUUGGUGUGACCCCCCGGGGGAAAAACACCGACAGUUGGCGCGCCAGGUAGGGGUCAUGCGUGUUUUUAUCGAUUUCCCACUACUUUCCGGAUGGCUACUCUUGCCUCGCCGCUUCCGCGCUCCACGGUGAUUUGGUUUGGGAGUCUCGAGUUCAUGUCUACGGGCUCCGGCUACGACAUGAUCUUGCUCUCAGUCAAAGGACCAGGAGGAGUCCGCGUUACGCCAGCACGGUUGAAGGCCCCGAGACGCCCUCACCACCACGCCUCCACGCCUAAGAAGAGGCGCGAGCAACACCACCGCGGCCCUUCUGCUUCAGCACGACCAACAACUCGUGCGAGGCAGGAUGUGGGCCACAAGUCGGCAGCACCAUGUGACGGAGCAACAAGUGCGACGACUCAGCACCGCGCGACGACGGGAGGGGACGCGUCUCGCGCCCUCUCCCCCACCGCAGCUAGGCUACUUCCACACGGGUUGUUCUCUCCAAGGGCGGCACUGCCGUUCGGAAUGGACUACGCCGCGGCGUCGCUCGCCAGGGCGAUAUGCCCAAACGCCCAGACGUACGUGGAAAGACCCAUGGUCCUCCCACAUAGCUCUGAAGCACGGCGGCCGGCGUCCGAGCUGCCGGACCUUUCCCGAGUACGAGGCCUCCGUCGUCUAGGCCCCGGACGAUACUCGAUCACCUCCCUCAGGCAACGAUUGCUGGAGGAAGGACGUGGGUGUUUCUACGCCGCUGAUCCGGACUCCGACUCCGAGACAGACAGCUAUGACCCUACGAGGGAAUGUUAUCACAUCGACGGGGCGGUAGAAACUUCUGAUGAGACACGGGAUGCUGCUGCGGGUGGUCGAGCCCCCGCGGCGCGAGAAGACCCCAGGACGCCUGGGAACGACGGACAAGUCGACCCCCCGCCUCAGGAAGACAGAACCGCGCAGCUCGCGCAGCUGCGGGAGCUCAAAAUGAAGCUCGACGAAGACCGCGAGCGCCUCGUCCUGCUCGAACAAAUCCUCGAACAAGACCUGCCCUACCCGCCGGGUGGAAGUGUCCGCAGACGCGCUCGAGAGGUACAUCGACAAAUCGUCGGUGACGCAGAGGCGGAGCAACCUGUUAGCCGUUUCCCUCGAGCAGGCCAGAACGUAGUGGCAGCGACGAUGCUGCUACGUAACAUGCCAGAGCGAUCGAAUUCCAAGGCCCGACGCAUUCGAGAUGAAGUACAGACAUUGCUCCAGGUGGCAGCGGUUCAACAAGCCGAAAGUUCGGCGUCUCGACGGCGAGGAGCUGCCACAGAGAAGCGCGACGAACAGCCUCUAAACGAAGAGGAGGUGUCAGUCCAUCAACAACCUCCCCCUCGAGGUAGAAAGACCGCUCUCAUCCUCCCUGCCGACAAUCAACGUCGACACGACGCGCGGCACGACGUCAAAGAAAAUAGACGCCGCCGGCACGGAGACGCGGAAGAACGUGGUUAUAGCGCGCAUCGCGGUGGGAGAUACGACAGCGACGAGGACCGGGUGGCCCCCGAGCCACCGGGCCCACGGGUGUUCAGCAGGGCGAUUCGCAGCACGCCCCUGCCCAAUCCAUUUCGACCCCCAACCAGCGUCGCGAAGUACAAUGGAGAGACCAAGCCAGAGCUAUGGCUGGCCGAUUUCAGGCUGGCCUGUCAGCUAGGUGGCGCUCGAGGUGAUGAUCGAGCCAUCAUCAGACAGCUACCCCUUUUCCUCUCCGACACCGCCCGUCGAUGGCUCGAGGAACUCCCUGCCAAUCAGAUCCACAACUGGGUUGAUCUGGUCAGAGUCUUCGAGGGUAACUUCAAAGGGACCUACAUACGGCCUGGGAACUCGUGGGACCUCAGCAAAUGCAAGCAGAAGUCAGGAGAAACUCUUCGGGAGUAUGCUCGACGCUUCUCGAAGCAGCGCACUGAGUUGCCGCACAUCCCUGACCACGACGUCAUCUUGGCGUUUGUCUCGGGCACCACCAGUCGAGACUUGGUGCGGGAAUUAGGUCGCAAUCGACCUCAGACCGUCGACGAGCUGAUGGACGUAGUAGCUAACUACGCGGCAGGGGAGGAGGCAGUCGGCGCCUUCUUCAGCUCAGAAGGAAGAAAAGGCAAGCAGCCCGUCGAUGAAGAUGGGACUUCCAGUCGAGGCCUCAAGAAAAAUAAAAAGAAGCAGAAAGUGCGGCAGUUCCACCAGGAAGAUUCAGGUGACAACCUCGUCGCCGCCAUGGAUCGAAAGAAGCCGCGAGGCCCUCCGGAGGGAGGCAUCUUCGACAAGAUGUUGGAGGAGCCGUGCCCUUACCAUAAGGGGGGCGCCAACCACAAACUCAAGGACUGUCGUAUGUUGAGAAAGCAUUUCGACGGUCAGGGGUUCAAAAAAGAUACGCGUGAUGACUCCAAGAAGGAGAAGGCUGGCGGCAAGGAGGACAACAAAGAUGACGACGGCUUCCCCGCCGUCCACGACUGCUACAUGAUCUAUGGCGGGCCCUCGACUCAGUUGACCACGAGGCAGCGCAAAAGGGAGCGUCGCGAAGUCUUUGCAGCAAGAAUGGCGGUGCCCCAAUACCUUAGCUGGUCGAGCACUCCCAUCACUUUCGACCGAGAAGACCACCCUGACAAGGUAGUCGCCCCAGGCGUCUACCCGCUCGUCGUCGACCCCAUCAUCGUCAACACCCGACUCUCGAAAGUGCUGAUGGAUGGUGGCAGCAGCCUCAACAUCAUCUACCUCGAGACCCUCGAUCUCCUCGGCAUCGAUAGAGGACGCCUCCAGCCAAGCGCCGGCGGUUUCCAUGGCGUCGUGCUAGGGAAAAAGGCACUGCCAGUAGGUCGAAUCGACCUGCCGGUCUGCUUCAGCACGGCGGCCAACUUCAGGAAGGAGACCCUCACCUUUGAGGUGGUGGGGUUCCGAGGCACGUACCACGCCAUCAUCGGGCGCCCGGGCUACGCCAAGUUCAUGGCCAUACCCAACUACACAUACUUGAAGCUGAAGAUGCCUGGUCCCAAAGGCGUCAUCACUGUCAGUUCCUCCUUCGAGCACGCGUACGAGUGCGACGUCGAGUGCGUCGAGUACGGGGAGGCGGUCGAGAGCUCCACCGAGCUCGUUGCAAAGCUUGAGGCCAUGGCCGCUGAGGCCCCAGAGCCUAAGCGUCAUGCGGGUAGCUUCGAGGCGGCGGAAGGAACCAAGAAGAUCCCGCUCGACCCCAACAACUCCGACGGCAAGGUGCUGACGAUCAGCACCGACCUCGACCCUAAAUAGGAAGCCGUGCACGUCGACUUUCUCCGUGCAAAUGCUGAUAUGUUUGCAUGGAGUCCCUCGGACAUGCCAGGCAUACCGAGGGAAGUCGCCGAGCACUCCUUGGAGAUUCGAGCCGGUUCCAAGCCAGUGAAGCAGCGGUUGCGCCGAUUCGACGAGGAAAAGCGCAAGAUCAUUGGCGAGGAAGUUCACAAGCUUUUGACGGCCGGAUUCAUCAAGGAGGUUCAUCAUCCUGACUGGUUAGCGAACCCUGUAUUAGUUAAGAAAAAGAAUGGGAAAAUGAGGAUGUGUGUCGAUUAUACUAGUUUGGAUAAAGCAUGUCCAAAAGUUCCCUUUCCAUUGCCACGCAUUGAUCAGAUUGUCGAUUCCACCGCGGGAUGUGAAACCCUUUCUUUCCUUGAUGCAUAUUCCGGUUACCAUCAAAUAAAAAUGAAGGAGUCCGACCAGCUCGCGACCUCUUUCAUCACGCCUUUUGGGAUGUAUUGCUACGUGACCAUGCCAUUCGGGCUUCGAAACGCCGGAGCCACGUAUCAACGUUGCAUGCUCCACGUAUUUGGCGAACAUGUAGGAUCAACGGUCGAGGCCUACGUCGACGACAUUGUCGUCAAGUCAAAGCGACGAGGAGACCUGAUCCGGGACCUCGAGGUUGCCUUCAGCUGCCUACGCACCAGCCGGAUCAAGCUCAAUCCCGAGAAGUGCGUUUUCGGCGUGCCUCGAGGCAUGCUCCUAGGAUAUAUCGUUUCGCAGCGCGGUAUCGAGGCCAACCCCGAGAAAGUCUCGGCCAUCACGAAAAUGGGGCCAAUCCGAGACAUCAAGGGUGUGCAGAGAGUCACGGGGUGCCUGGCGGCUCUGAGCCGUUUCAUCUCGAGACUAGGAGAAAAGGCAUUACCGUUAUAUCGACUCCUAAAGAAGGUCGAGCGCUUUUCUUGGACCCCCGAGGCCGAGGAAGCACUCGAAAAGCUGAAAAAGACGCUGACCUCGGCGCCAGUCCUGGUUGCACCUCAACCUGCGGAGCCGCUGCUCCUCUACGUCGCGUCGACGACCCAGGUCGUCAGCGCGGCGGUGGUGGUCGAAAGACAAGAGGAGGGUCACGCGCUGCCGGUCCAAAGGCCAGUCUAUUUCGUCAGCGAGGUGCUUUCGGAGACCAAGGCGCGUUACCCCCAAAUCCAGAAACUGAUCUACGCCGUAAUCCUUGCCCGCCGCAAAUUGCAGCAUUACUUCCUUGGUCAUCCUAUCACGGUGGUCUCUUCUUUCCCCUUGGGCGAGAUAAUCCAGAGCAAGGAGGCCACGGGAAGGAUAGCUAAGUGGUCGGUCGAGCUCAUGAGCGAGACUCUCACUUACGCACCUCGAAAGGCCAUCAAAUCGCAAGCCCUGGUAGACUUCGUCGCGGAAUGGACAGACUCCCAGCUUCCCCCGACUCAGGUCCAGGCGGAGCUGUGGACAAUGUAUUUCGACGGGUCACUCAUGAAAACUGGGGCCGGGGCCGGCCUGCUGUUCAUCUCACCCUUGGGCGUCCACAUGAGGUAUGUAAUCAGGAUUCAUUUUGCCGCAUCUAACAAUGUCGCAGAAUAUGAGGCCCUCGUCAAUGGUCUUAAGAUCGCUAUCGAGUUAGGAGUCCGACGCCUCGACGUCCGAGGUGACUCCCAACUCGUCAUCGACCAGGUAAUGAAAACCUCGAGUUGCCAUGACCCAAAAAUGGAAGCAUACUGCAAGGAGGUGCGUCGACUCGAAGACAGGUUCCACGGCCUCGAGCUUGCCCAUGUCGCUCGACGCUACAACGAGGCAGCCGACGAACUCGCCAAAAUCGCAUCUACCAGAGGCACAGUGCCGCCUGAUGCAUUCUCAAAGGAUCUUCACGAGCCAUCCGUCGACCUAGGCACGGGGGCUGGCGUCGACACCACCAUCGCCCAACCAACCAAUGCUGUCGAUGCGCUCUUGAUGGAGGAAGAGGUGAUGGAAAUAGAACGACGACCGGUUCGACCAUUCGAUUGGCGCACACCGUUCCUCGACUGCCUUAUCCGCGGUGAGUUGCCAGAAGACAAGACAGAAGCUCGUCGUAUCGCUCGACGGGCCAAAUCAUAUGUGAUCUAUGGCGAAGACAACGAGCUAUAUCGACGGAGCCCGACGGGGGUCUUACAACGUUGCAUCACCGUAGAGGAAGGCCGAAAACUCCUCGAUGACCUGCACUCGGGGGCUUGUGGCCACCACGCCGCCCCACGGACCCUUGUAGGAAACGCUUUUCGGCAAGGCUUUUACUGGCCAACGGCCGUGGCGGAUGCCAUCGAGCUCGUACGCUCGUGUCAUGGGUGCCAAUUCUACGCCAAACAGACGCAUCUGCCCGCCCACGCUCUUCAGAUGAUCCCCAUCACCUGGCCGUUUGCGGUAUGGGGGCUCGAUUUAGUAGGACCUCUACAAAAGGCGAAAGGAGGGUAUACCCAUUUGCUGGUGGCCAUCGAUAAGUUCUCCAAAUGGAUCGAGGCUCGACCCAUCACCAACAUCCGCUCCGAGCAGGCCGUCCUUUUCUUCUCCGACAUCAUCCAUCGGUUUGGGAUCCCCAAUGUCAUCAUCACCGACAACGGCACCCAGUUCACCGGCAGAAAGUUCUUGGAUUUCUGCGAUCAGCAUCACAUCCGUGUGAACUGGUCCGCAGUAGCCCACCCUCGAACUAACGGCCAGGUCGAGCGUGCCAACGGCAUGAUUUUGCAAGGACUCAAGCCGAGGAUCUACAAUCGAUUGAAGAAAUUCGGCAAGAAAUGGGUCGAGGAGCUUUCCUCAGUCCUAUGGAGCCUUAGGACAACGCCAAGCAGGGCCACAAAAUACACCCCGUUCUUCAUGGUCUACGGCUCUGAAGCUAUCCUCCCCACAGACCUCGAGUAUGGGUCACCACGACUCAAGGCUUACAACGAGCAAUCGAACAAAGAGACUCAGGAAAACGCGGUCGACCAACUCGAGGAGGCUCGAGACAUGGCCCUCCUCAACUCUGCUAGAUAUCAGCAGAGACUCCGACGCUACCACGACAAGCACGUGCGCAAGAGGGACCUCAAUGUAGGCGACCUUGUCUUACGACGCCGGCAAAGCAACCAAGGACGCCACAAGCUGACCCCACCUUGGGAAGGCCCGUAUGUGGUGGCCGAGGUCCUUAAGCCAGGAACGUACAAAUUGGCGGACGAAAAGGGGGCAGCCUUCACCAACGCAUGGAACAUCUAACAGCUACAUCGAUUCUACCCCUAGAAGUCCUAGACUUACGAUCCUACUUUUUGUACGAAGACCUUGUAAAUGAACGCAUGAAUAAAUAAAGUCUUUCCCUCGAGCAGCUCGGGGGCCAAAAAUAGUUACGAGUUAUAGUCUCGACGUCAAAAGGGGAUGCCGACCAUGACCCAUCAUAGUCCGCACCCCCUCGGGGGCUACCAGAGGGACGACCCCUCCCCAAGCGUCGAAAAAGCCAAGAAAUUUUUCUUUUCUUGCUUGGUAAACCUUGCACGGUUCGAGUAGCUAAGGCACCUCGAGCCCCUCAAAGGCCGAGGGAUAAUGAGCCGGAAAACUCCCACGCCCCUGGGCUACGGAAACCGAGGUCGCUUCUGACGAAAGGUCGAGCAAGGGAUACAAACGUAGGAAUAAAGAGAAACAAAGGAACCUCGAGCGGAAAGACAAAUAAGCAGUUAACAAUUACGAAAAGAUACUAUAUCACGUAACAGCAAAAUUAAUAAAGUAUCGUACAAGGGGCCUCAGGCGCCCUGAGCAGGCUCGCAGGCCUCAGUCAACGGCACGACCCUCACCGCCCUCGCCUCCGCCCGAGCUAGCCUCAGGAGGGAGCACCUCAGGCUCGAAGAGCUUGGCCAACCUUUCCCUAGGAGCCUCCGCGUCGUCGAUCAAGGCAUGGAGCCUCUCCUCGUUCUCCGCGUCGGUCUUGGAAAUGUCGGUGACGAAGCCAUGGGACACCACCUCCAUGUCGUAGGAGAAGCCCGAGCAGACAACCGCCAUCGCCCGCUUCACCCCGAUGUGGAGGGCAUCCCGCACCCGAUCUCGCAGCGUUGCGCCUAUGUAGCACAACUGGUCGAUCAGGGCGUCGCCUCGAGUGUCCUCCCUCGACUCAUCCAUAGGCUCGACCUCCCAAGAGGUCGAGAGAUCGCUUAUCGCCGUCCGCACUUGACGGUUCAAAGCAACCUCAGCCUCGAGCUGAGCCUUGGCGUUGCGAGCCUCGGCUUGGGCGGCCAGGAGUUCGUCCUUGAGCCCUAUAAAUGCCAAUACAAAGAAGCUUUAGGAAAAACUCAAGCACACCUCGAAAAGGAAAUUCGACAAAGGAAACAUACCUUUGAUGCUCUCCUCUAGGGCCGUGUUCUCGCCGACCAAUCUGGUGUUGGCACGCUCGAUCUCUCUGUUGGAGCGCGCCAGCUCAGUAUUGGCGACGCGGAGAUCUUCGAUCACCCUGCCAGCCUGAGCGACGGCUCCACUCUUCUCCAGCAAUUCUCCCUUCAGACGCUCGACGUCGUCAGAGAGACUGCGGGAUCGAGCUCGCUCCAUCUCGAGGUCUUCGAGGGCUUUCUUCUUUGCGUCCUCGGCGGCACCCCUGGCGACCUCAUUGUCCACGAACGCCACUUUCAUCUUUUGGAAGGUAUCGCGGAGGGAGUCCAGGUCGGUUUGGAGAAGGCCCUUCUCCUUGUCCAGGUCCGCGAUGACGCUCUUGUAGGACAGGGCCUCCUCCAGGGCUCUGGACGCGGCCUCCUCGACCGUGAGAGCCCGCUCCCGUAGCUGCAUCGCCUCCUCCUCCGCCUUCUUCGAGACCUCUCGGGCCUCGGCCAAAGCAGCCUCCCUCACCUUCUUCUCCUCCUCGAGCGCUAUGAGAUCUUUGUAAGCUUUAAGCAGCUUUUCCUGCGACUCGAGGAGUUGAUCCUUGAGGAGGGGAAGCUGCUCCCAUCCGCCCCUCGUGGCAUGUAUGAAGCUGGACUUGAUGCGAGAGGUCUCUUUCAUAUCCUGCGAAUCAGGGGUCAGAGGGAUUAGAACACAGAAACCAGAAAGCACCACAAAGAUUGGAGCUCGAGAAACACUUACAAAAUAAGCUGGCCCAAGCCCGUUGUUGAUGACGUCCGAUAGGAGCCCCACCACGUGUUUCAUCCAAAGGCGGAGCUCCUCGACAUGCUCCCACUUCUCGACCUCCUUCUUGUCGUCGAGGAAGAUAUUGGGCUCGGACGGGUCGCUGGAAGCUCGGAUACGAAUCCGAUCGGGACACCAGUUCUCCAUCUCCCGAUCAGCCCGCACCUUGACGCCGCGGAUAAAGUUCUCGACGGUCUCGAGGGAACCCCCGUGGCGCAAGAACAGGUCGGCGAGGCAAGGGAACCGCCCGUCGUCGUCCACCGUCUUCCACGUACCGUCCUUGCUCCCAGACGACCCGAUCUCAUCCUCCUCAGAGGGAAAGCGGUCCUCCCAUGCUCGACGCUCCCGGAGGAACCCUGGGGCGAUCCCGUCCAUGCCGUAGAUUGUCCUCUUGAUCCCGGACUCGGGGUCGGUGGGGGUGCGCAUCAUGCAGGCGAGCGCCACCACUCCGUCCGCUCGCCCCGACUCUGCCCGGAUCGCGGCAGGCGCCCCCGGGAGGAGCCACGCUGGGGUGGGAGGUCCGUACACCGGCAAAUUUCCCUCUUGAUCGCCGGGCUCUUGCGACGCCAGUGGCGCCGUUUCGGCCAAAACUUGAGGCGGGGGCUCGAGUGGCUCGUCCUCUUGGCCCCCCAGCUGCUGUUGCUGCCCCAGCUGCUGCUGCUGCUCCUCCUGCUGAUGCUGCAGCUGCUCCUCCGGCUGGGGUCGCUGCUGCUGCUGCUUCAGUGACGGCUGCGUCGCCUCGCGCUCCCGCUCCUCCUCCUCCACCAUCUUCCUUUGCGCCUCGAGAGCUCGAAGGCCUGCAGGCCAGGGAGUCCGUCCCGCGACGUUGGGGGUCGAUGCUUCUUCCUCCAUAGGUCGAGCGCCCCCAGACGCUUCGUUGCCAUCAGACGUAUCGCUGAUGGUGAUGGGUUCCCCCUCGACCCCCAAUCGAGAGGGCUCGGGGGCUCCCUCUGACGCUCGCGUCUGGGGGGCCGCAUCAUGAGUCGGCGGCGGCGGAGUAGGCGCGGGACGAGAUAAAGCCCUCUCGACGCCGGCUGGAGGUUGGGUGCUGGAUGAGCCUACAAAACAAAGGGUAAGGGUCAGACGUUAUGAUAACAAACGCAAGAAUAUCGCGACGCCCGGGAAUUAACUACGAACCUGGUUCCGUGGAGGCGGCACCCGUUCUGAGCCUCUUGGCCAUAGACGGUUGGGCCUGCUCAAGAGUCCGCUUCAGCCUGAGAAAAGGUCGGCAUAUGAGGAAAGGUGGAAGAAUGGGAAGACAAAAACCGCAACAUCAAAAAAGGCUUACCCCACGGGGAGAACGGCUCGCCUUCCGCCACCCCGACCAGCGGGCCUCGAGCCACCCAGCGUCGGGGCUCCGGGCCCCUCGAGGGCACGAACCAGCUUAGGCACGUCGGUUCCCGCCUGGCGGACGCCUGGACCCGCGCUCUUACAGCCGGCAUCUCCUCUCUCAGAGGCAGCGGCGCGACCACGGGUUAGCGGCCCCGACGCCUGGGACCUAGCCGGAUCGCUCUCCCUGGGCACCGGGGGAGGGCGCGGUGCGUCUUGUCCCGCCUUGGGCGCGGGAGGGGUGUCGGCCCGGGGACGACGAGAUCCGCUCGGACCCUCCUCUGGCGCCUCUGUCCGGGGGGCGUCGGCGUCGCCUCGAGGCGGGCCCUCGAGGAUCCGAUCGAGGCGCGACGCCAUCCCCUCGGAGUCGUCGCUGUCCUCGUCGUCAUCGUCGUCAUCAUUGGGGGAUUCUUCCUCAGGCUCCCCCCUCUGCCUGGAUUUGGCUCGACGCGCCUCUAAUGCUUGGCGGUCGAGGUUCUUCUUCUUCUCCCCCUUCUUUGCGGACUCCUUGGCAGACUUCAGCUUUUCGGCGGAUUGGCGCCGUUUGUCGCGAUCGACCUUGUCCUCCUUUACCGGAGGCCUCGAGGACCGGACAUCAAUCCGACCCUGCCAAAACUAAGGUAGACUUAGAAAAAAGAGAGGGGAGAAAGGAAACCUAGAGUUGGGGAUGCGCGUAAGAAGAAAGCGUACCAGAUCGAUCGAGCCUGCGUCAGGUCUCAUGGGGAAGCCGUUGACAUGCUCCGGCUGAAAAUCACCGGCAAUUGCGGCCCUGACUCGGGCCGCGACUUCGUCGUCCGCCGGAGGCUUGUUGGACAUCCGACAUGCCUCGAGGUCCCGAGAUGAGACGCCAGGGCCCAUCUCGUCCAUCCUCAACGGUCGUGACAUCAGAGGGAGAACUCUCCGAUGAUGGACGGCCGAGAGGACGAGGGCGGCGGUCAAACCUUCCUGGCGAAGCUUCCUCAGGGCGUCGAGGAGAGGGUCGAGCCGAGACUGAUGAGCUUGGACGACGCCGUACGUCCAGUCCGCUGGACGCUCCAAGUAGGAAGGCAGGAGGUUGUCGUCGUUCCGCAGGUAGAACCAUUGGGAGUCCCAGCCGGCGUGGUUGGUCGACAACCCUACCGGGAUGUACUCCCGCGGCCGGUCCGUCUUCCCCGUCUUCUGCACCAGAUUGAGGCAACCCGCCCGCACGGGCUUCCUUACGCCCAUGGUUCCGGUGGAGGCGUGAAACAGCUCGCCCCUGUAGAGGUGGAGCCACAGCUCCCAGUGCGGCAUCAUCCCCAGGAAGCCCUCACACACGGCGGCGAAGACCGCCGCUACGGUGAUGGCGUUCGGAGAGAAGUGCUGGAGCUCCACCCCAUAAUGGAAGCAGAGGGCUCGCAUGAAACGGCUUGGAGGCGCGCCCAGACCGUGGCGGUGAAACUUGGCGAACGACACCACGUAGCCCUCGGGCGGCUGAGGCGCCCUGUGACUCGCCGGCGGCGCGAUCCACUCUGGCGACGACAGCGAGGUGCGGCGGCGCAGCAGUCCCUCCUUCUCAAGCUCUAACAGCCGGCGCUCCGUCAUCGACGACGGGCGCCAGUCGUCGGCGGCGACGAGUCUUACAGGCAUCUCGGCUAAAGGGGCGGUGGGUUCGCUACAGCUCGAGGGGGCGUGUGCGCGUGAGAUGGCGAGAAAGCAAAGGCAGCGAAGGAACAAGAGCGAGAAGGCGGAAGGGAGAGGAAUGGCGGUGACGCGACGACGUAUUUAUAGGCAGCUGUCCGCCAACGGACAGAUCCGAGAAGUAAGGUAACUCCCCCCACAAAUGCGCCGCCUGACAGUCCUCUCUCUCUCCUCACAGGCCGGACUCUCCGAAUUCCUCGCCGAUACGGUGUCGUAACGUCAUCCGCCUAAAAAGGCGCACCCAACGGGCAGAAAGGCGAACCGCCACGGCCGUUUCCUUCCCUCGUAAGCCAAGGGACGUAACCACAAAAGUCUCGAGAGGUCGAUGGCUGGCCCGCCAAAAGGGUUCGACAGCCGAUCUCGAGCGCCAGAGUCAGGGAUCCCCAGCGAGCGGUCGAAGAUCGAGGCCCGCCUCGAGGACUCGCUGGCGAUGUUCAAGGUAGGGUCGAGACAGUCGAGAGGAAUCCCCCCGACGGGAGGCAUCGAGCCUCCGGUCUCUAUCGAAUGAGACUGGUAUCCCCGACCACGUCGACCCUGCUUUAUGAGGACACCUCCGGGCUACAGCUGACCCCCUCGAAAGGGGCACAGGUUCUCACUUGGACUACCUGCUAGGAACUCAAUUUGGGAUGGAAGACGCUCGCUCUAUCGAGAGUACGUCGAAACCCCCGGGCAAAAACGAGCCAAUCGGAAUCUUCCACCACUGGUGUCGAAAGCGUUUCUGCGAAUUAGAUAACAUAGCCCUCGAAGGAGUCAAAAACUCCUCCGAGGGCUCGGGGGCUACUGUCGAGGGUAUCGGUAAGGGGUACCCUCAGCGAUGCGCAUUAUGAGAUUGCCCGUACGAAGGUCGAGACCCUUAAUUCGACGCUCUAAUCUUACGUAUGCGCCGCCAUCGACGGUCGCAGCCUCGAAGACGGAAAUAGCGUCGAGCGAAUCGGUCAGGGCUCGAGCGAUGACUGCCGUCGAAAACGGAAGCGGGCUCGAGCGAACCGAGAGGCGUCGGGCGCAAGGACACUGUCCGCCGCCCGACGCGCGCACGCGGGCCGGAGCAUUAAAUGCACCUGACGCUUCCCCACCUAACACACAGGUCACGGAAGGCGUGAUAGGGAACAAGCUUCUGUCCCAUCGUUCUUUUUGCAGCCUUCCCACCGAACGACCCAGGGCGUGUCAGGACGCAGGAAACAAGGAUGGAACGUCUAAUCGGGACCCCCUCGAGACACCCAAGGUCAGCGCUCCAGAUACCAGCAUAUUACACGGCGUCCGACCCUCGACCGAACAGGGUCCCUUCCUAGGGACAAGUUGGGCGUCGACUGACAACACCACAGCUACCCCGCCGGGUCCGCCACCAUACCGUACGAGCAUGCGACCUCAGAACCAGCACAAGGCGGCUGGCAGGGCAAAACGCAGGAGCACGCGUAAUCAUCACCGGGCUAUCAAGAUGGGACGGCUCGAGGCCAUGCCGUACGGAAGCCUCGAGUAGGUCAGCGUUCCAUGCGGCUAUCGAUCCCUACUCUAACAUCUACGCAUGUACCCUGUGUCUCUCCUUGGAGCUAUAAAAGGAGAGACUCAGGAAUAGAAGAGGGGGACAUCUGUUGACACUUCUUAACGCAACCACCGGAUAUUGGCGACGGCGCCAGAAGUGCCCUGGUAGGGUAACUCUAUUUACUAUUGGAUAAUUCCGCAAGCGCACAGAAUGUACCGCUGUAGCACUUCACCAAGGAGUAUUCCAAGGUAUCGUAAUUUAUAUUUUCCCAAGGGAAAGCGGCUAAGUGUGUUUAACAAAAAGGGGAAUGAGAUUCCUUGAGUUAUCUAGUAUCAACUAGUGAAUAAGGGUGGUAAAUAACGAAUAGGAAGGGUAGUGGUGAAUCCAAGGUCCUAUGCUAAAGGUAAAUGGUAGAGUUAGCUAGGUGGGAGGACAACGAGUGAGUAAAGGACUCCUAUGUAUCUAACUUGACUUCUGUGACUUACUUUAAUAGAUAAUUGUCUUAACUACGCUAGAGCCUUACUAACUGUGUGCGAGGGAUAGCCGAGCUGGUAAGACGCUUAGAAGGUUUUUCACCUAACCCCUUACCGAAAGCGACUAUUGGGCUUAUGGACGCCUUACCUUUUAAGAACUAGCCUGUACGUGAGGAGAACCUAAUGCCGCCCACGAUCUGUCACCUACUAGGGAGUGCGCUCCUACUUUCCGUUCAAGCCAGCGGUAAUCAAAGGUAAUCUUAAGUAUGAGCACCACGCUCACACUUAAUCCUACAACGCUAACUAGUUGCAGCUAGCUAGAGCUCCUAUACAAGAUAGGACGAUGAUGCACACACAGGAGUGGUUACAGGUCACUAACUUCACUAAGACAACUAUAUUACUAAAGUAAAUGCACAACAAGACUAAAAGACUUGCACUAAGUAAGAACUUAGUAAAGUAAAGUAAGAAUAAUAUAUUAAUAAAAGGAAAGUCUUACAAAAGUAGAAAGGUACAAGAGCUAUACCAGACUCUCCAGAAGACGACUCCGGAGACCCCGAGCUUCGCUCGACUCGACUCUAACUGCCACUCUAGACUAACUACUACUCUACUUGUAUGCUUGGAACUUGUAAUGCACUUGGCCUUGGAAUUGCACACUUGAAAUGAAGGAUGGAGGCUGCCUUUUAUAGAGGGAGAUGGAGUAGGGGUUACUCCAUCACCACGUCAUUGAUCCGCGUGACAUCUUCUCUCCACCCUUGGAUCAAACCGACCUCACAACCGCCAUUUGAUCAACGGCAGGGGCAAAUCAACAUGUGGGACAUGUGGGGAAGGUCGGUGGGAGGCCACCGACCUUGGAACCGCCUUUGAUGUGGGGUCGGGCGACCCCACUUCUGGGCCUCUGGGCCCACCAGCAGUGUCCACAGGGGUCCCUUAUGUCGACUAGGUGGCACACCUGGGUCCCACCAAAGAGGGGUCGGGCGACCCCCUCCCUGUGGGCCCAGGGUGUCACCUGUUGUCCCCUCGAUCUCCUCUUGAUGAUUCUGAUGUUGGCUUUGUCAAAUAAUGUCUUGAAUUUGUUGUUCCUGCAUAAACAAGCUAAGAGUACAAGUGGAACUAGUUAUGGAUAAAAUAUGUUCAUGUCAUGUCGUUUCCCCUUGCAACCGAGGCAUGUUGACAGUGUUUUGUAUGUGUAUUUCUAUGGUAUAUCCACCGUCAACAAGAUCCCCCAAGCUUAACCUUUGCUCAUCCCGAGCAAACAAUCAAACUUAGCCUCGGUGGAUCAGGUAUUGUUACUAUGUUCACAUUUCAAGAGUACCAUGUGUACAACAAAGUUCUUCUCUUUGCAUGAAAAAUUUAGCUAUGUAAACUUACCCCUAUUACCUUAGUCCCUUAUGGGGCUUAUGGCUUUUCCUUUGUCUUAGGUGGUUGAGAGACAGAACAGUUUGACUUGAGCACUAACUUUCUCAUUCUUAGCAAGUUUCAUAUCAGAGGUUUUGUGAUAUUUUCAAAAGAAAGCUUAAAUGUUCCUCUUAUGGUUCUCUCAUGUCACUCAAAUGGUGUAUGAUUCCUCACCAAGGCAUAUGGUAAGAGUUGCCUUCUCUAUUUCAUCCUAUUUCUAAAAGGCUUAUGUGGAGUUCAAGGUAGGGAUGAAAGGAGAUAGCAUACUUACUUUGCAUGUAUUGCGAAGUCAAAGCUCGGAUCCUUGAAGAGAAGUGUCAUACUCCCAGAUCAAGAUGUGCAAGUGUGAUAUAUGGUGGACUAGGUUGCUCCUUUAUUUGAUAGACUCUCUAUGUAUUGAGACAUGGCUAGCAUUUUUUUUCUUCUUUUUUUUUAAUAUAUAUGAGCUUUCAUGUGCUCAAUUUUCUUUUUCUGUGGACUUGCACAUGUCCAUCUUUUUAUUUCAUUUUGCCUAGCCCUUUUGAUGUCUCAUUUACCAAAUAAUGCUUAGAGAGAUGUUCUAACAUUUAGAGUAUGGAGCAACCUAUUUAGUGGAUGCGAAAUACAUGUGGUUGCGUACUUCCAGUGUAGAAGCUGCAUAUAUAUAUGUGGUGUGUACGUGAUCUUGAUCUUAGGAGUAUGAAAAGUCUCUUAACAAGGGUCAACAAGACUUGACGACACUCAACACAAAGCAAAUAGCUUAUGUGGAAAGGUUGCAAUUAUGUAAAGUAGAUAUGGCUGUGGUAGGAAUUCAUCACCAUUGAGGAACAAUUAAGGUUUUGAUCAUUUUAAGAAUAAAUCUCUGAUAAUUAUGCAUGCUUAGAAAAAUAUUAUAGUAGCUCUUGUCUUACUAUCUCAUGUCCCACAACAACUUAGACUUAGUUCUAGCACUUGCAACCCACAAAGUUUUUAGGUUCAUGACAGUUUAAGUGAGCUAAGUGAUCCAUACUUAGAGAAAUACUAAGUUGUAUACUAGGCACUAGAGAAACAUUAACAAGCAACUAGUCAUAAUUUCCAUGAGGGAUAUAAACAUACAUGAAGCAUAUAUGCUAAAGGGAAAUGCUAAUAAAUAUUUAUUUUUUUUUAAGUAAGAAUGAUAAAAUGUAUGAAAAUAAAUAGGAUACAAUACUUACCUUAGUGGGGGAGAGGAUCUCCCCCAAGCUAGAUCUUCGCUCACUGUGGUGGCGGGAAAUUCUGGUACCAUCCGGCCCAGCGUUGUGCGUCUUCCUCUCGCACACGUCGGAUAUGUUGGCCGUUUUGUAACGCCAGUUGCAAUGUUGCUUCUUGCCCAAUCUGCAAUUCGCCCAUGUCAUUAAUGAGACUGUCCAUACCUGUGGGCUGGUGACGCCUAGCCCUGCCCCUUGGGCGUGGAGUGCGUUGUGGAGGUAGACCCAUGGAGUCUGAAGCAUCCACUGACAUCGCUUCAUCGCCCUCUUCAACGUCAUGGUGCGAGGAUCCUCCUUGCUCCAUCUGGGCGGCUUGCAUCAUCCUUCUUGUCACCCUGCGUGUCCCUGCAACAUCUGGACUUGCCACUCGGGCUAGUCUAAUGGUAAGUGUGCGGACCCCAUACAACCGGCGCCUCGCACAUGGGAGAGGAAUUUCGGUUGUAUAGCCCGGAUAAAUCAUUUUAAGUUCACCAUUUGGAUCUCUUAUGAGCAUGUUAGCAUUGAUAAAGAAGUUCUCAUCUACCACUCCUCUAACAUAGCCAAUGUCUUCAAAAUAAUGUGAUUCAAGUAAUCCAAAAGUAUCGGCUAUUCGAGUAAUAAAGGAUGUGAAAUAGAUGGGCUUCCCAUACUCAAUAGAGUUAAGCCAAUAGUUCACUAGCAGUUUCACAGGGGAGACCUUGAUUUUACUAACCAUGGCAUAGAGAAUUUUAAGUUCAUCAUCAAUUAAAGUAUCAGUUCCCAUGCCAGGAUCUAGAGUGCACAUGAUCUAGAAGUGAAGAAAGCGCAAGGUUGGAUUAUGGAUUUCAAUGGGAGUAGGAUUUGAACAAUCAUUAGAGCCAGAAAUUGCUUUCCAGAAUCUAAAUUUAUCGAACAUUCUAGUGGCAUGAUCUAGAUCAAGUUCACAUUCCUGUUCACACCCUAAAGCAGUGUUUAGCAAAACUCCAAUUUAAUUGAUGUUCUUGCUCACACAUGCGAAAAGAUAUUCCAUUAUUUGUGAGUUUUAGGGUGCAUAGAAAUUCCUUAGCAAGCAAUUCUUUUCCAAAUUCAGGCACUUGCCAAAAACUACUCCAACCAAUUGCUCUAAACACCUUAUCGAAUUCAACAUCCAUACCUGUGCGGGCCGAAAGGUCCGGAUCGAUGAUGCUAGUGUGUAGGAAGAGACCCUCUCGGAUGAUGUAGUACCUUUGCAACUCUUCUUGGCUUAACAUGAGGCCGCUCUCGGGCUCUCUCAUCCUUGAUGGAGGCUCGUAGGGUACCAUCCCAUGGUAACCUUCUUCUUCCUCCCUUCCAUGAGCAUGGUGAGAGCCUUGAGAAGAGCUCUCACCCUUUGCUUUCUUGAACUUGCCGAAGAUAUGCUUCUUCAUCCUCCUACACAAGUGAGGCAAACCAAGCUCCUACUACUACUACUAUGCAAGGGGAAUCUUUUUGGGUUUUUGUUUUGAUGACUAUUUCUAAACUAAACUUGAGAAAUGGCUUGUAACAAAGAGAGAAGAGAAAGGAUUGUGAGCUCGAAAUGGUUCUGGUGGUUUUGGGUGUGGAGUUGAGCUCACAAUGCUGUGGUAUUUAUAGGGGGAGAAGGGCAAGUAGUGGACCCACAAUAUAGGGGUCGGCCGACCCCCCCUAGAAGCACUUUGAAUUUGAGUUUAGCUUUAUACAGGGAACCAUUCUGCAUGCUUUCAAGAUUUUGCAGAGAUGGUCCAAAAUGGGGGUCGACCGACCCCCAUCCUAGCCCCUCCUCCACUUUAAACAUUGUGUCAUUGAUUGUCCAGAAAAGUAAAGGCUAGGUGUGGACCAAAAGUUUUCAAAUUGUUUCUGAGAUUCCCUGUUUUAGUGCUUUGUGAAAGGUAAAAGAUGAAUGGCAAGAGUGGAGAUAUGUCUAAAGUGAUUCCUAUGGACCAUGGGAGCACUCAAGCAUGCCUAGGUGACCACUUUGCAGAAUUUAAGCUAGUGGAGUGGUCCCAAAAGAAUCAAAGAUGAAAGGAGCAUCUUAUGACUAAAGUAAAGGAUCAAGGGACCACUCUUUUUCAAACUUUAGCUAGUGUUACAAGCAUAGGACUCCUUUGUGAUUCAAAUGGUGGCCAGCAGGAGGCAAGUGGGGCCAAUAUGGGGGUCGGCCGACCCCCACAUUGGAGCUCCCAGAGCAUCCAAGUGCUGGGUUGGAACCUCUAUGACUAGCAAGGUUGAAAUGCGGUGAAGUGGGCCCCAAGGUGGGGUCGGGCGACCCCCCUUUGGGAGCUCCAGCAGCUCAAAUUUUUAUGACAAGUUAUUCUCAAGAUUUUAUUUAUUAUGGCUAAACAUUUUGUCGAAAUAAGAUAUGCAAAAUUCAAAGUAAGAAUGCAAUUGAAAUGCAGAAAAUAAAUAUGGGAUAACUACUGAUUUACCUUAUCAGCAAGGGCUCCAUGUUUUAGGUCCGUAGAGCAGGACCUCUCCAUCUUGUUCAUCCUUCGGGUGCAUCAGAUGGUCCCGGAGACGUGGACCUUGAUUGCACCUCUUUCUCCCGCCAUACUUGCUUGGUAUUGAUUUUUGGUUCAGCGGGUUCCUCUUCUUUCUUUUCGGCCCUUUUGGCCGACUUACCUCUCUUGUCCCUUCGGCGUCGGAUGUGGCGAGGCUUAGUCGGAGGUUCUUUGUCCUUCACCUGCAUGUUAGCUUUAUAACCAUUGAAUGGACAUUUUACCUUCCAUCCUGGGAAUUGGAGGUGAAUCUGGCCGGACCCCACAUAGAUGACUGCAUUGACCGUGUUGAGGAAUGGCCUUCCCAAGAUGAUCGAGACAUCAUUAUUGGAUCCCAUAUCUAGAAUGAUGAAGUCGGCAGGGACGUAGUCGUCUUGAACCUUUACCAGUAUGUCCCUUGCCAACCCCUCAUGGAACCUGAUCGUCUGAUCUGCCAUCUGCAAACGAACAAAUGUGGGGUGCAAAGGCCCCCCUAGCAAAUUAUCAUAAGUUACCUUGGCCAUGAUGUUGACACCCGAUCCAAGGUCGCAGAAGGCGUUGUGGAAGAUUUGCGGUCCGAUCUCACAGGUGAUGGUCGGCAGGCCUGGGUCGUCCUUCUUGGUGAUGAAGGGCGAAUCCAGAAGAUAGCUCCAGUUGGAUUGUACCGGAGGCUUACCGAACCUCGUAGUAACUAGUUUAACUCCUUCAAUUGGGUCCUCAGGUUUCCCUGGGAUCUUACCUUGCUCGAAGGAUGGGACAGCUGCUGCUAAUUGAGCUAAUUGUGUUUCUAGCAUUUUGUUAAAGCUCAACUGAUUUUUCAUAGCAGAGUUAAAGCUAUCCAACUUUUCACUUAAGUUUUCAAGGAUCUUAUCAUUAGCCAUCAUUUUCUUGUUAAUGCUAUCAUUGAUUUUAGAUUGGCCUAAGACAAGAUCUCUAAGAGAAGGUUGGUUACCAAAAGAAUUAUUGAAAUUUUGAUUGUAACCAUUACCUUGAUUACCUUGGUAGAAGGGGCGCGAGUUCCAUUGCUGUUGUUGGGGCCGGUACCCAUUGUUGUUGUUGUUGAUGAAGCUCACUUCCUCCUUUGUUUCGGGACAAUUGUUUCCCGAAUGAUCAUCUCCUCCGCACACUUCGCACCAUGAAUCAGAUUCAAUGGCCCGUGCAGUGGCGUAAGGUUGAAUGGUCUCUUGCUUGGAACUUUCUUCCAUCUUCUUCAUUAAGAGGUCCAUCUUAGAAGAGAGCAUGUCCACCUCAUUCAAGGCAUGGACACCUCUUCUCUUGGGUUGGAGGCGUUCCUCAUUCCAUCCUUGGUUUAUAACCAUCUUUUCAAUGAGGUCCUUGGCAUCCUUGACAUUGUGUUGCAAGAAUGCUCCUCCAGCGGCAGCAUCAAGGUGACUACGGGCCAAACCGGUCAGGCCAUGGUAGAAACCUUGGAUUAGGAGCCACUCCUCUAUCCCAUGAUGAGGACAGGCGCGAAUGUACUCCUGCAGACGUUCCCAUGCUUCGGGAAUCGUCUCAUCCGCUUGCUGUUGGAAGCUGGAAAUCUUUCCACGAAGGGCGCUGGUCUUGCCCAUCGGAAAGAACUUCUUGAGAAAUGCAUUGGCGCACCUCUCCCACGUGGUCACUUCACCCUUGUUGGCGUAGAUCCAUUGCUUCGCCUUCCCCAAUAACGAGAAUGGGAAGAGGCGAAGACGGAUGGCGUCUGUGGCGACAUUCUUGAUGGUGAAGGUGCCGCACACCUCCAAGAAGUGUUGGAGAUGGGCAUUGGCAUCCUCGUGUGGCUUUCCACAGAAGGGAUUAGCUUGCACCAUAUUGAUAAGCGCAGGCUUCAACUCAAAAGUCGCAUCCCCCAAGUUAAGCUGCGGACCCGUGGCGACAUUGUCAGCCGACGGCGCAGAGUACUCAGAGAUGGUCUUCUGGGCCAUAGCUUCUUUGAUAACCGGUGCAGAUACUCCUUCCUCUAACGGAUUCAGGUUCGAGAUGAACCUUUGAGGUGGAACUUGACGACGUCUAGUUCUCCUCAACAGUUGCUCAGGAUCUUCAACGAAGUUUGACGGCAAUUGGAAACCGCUCAUACACUGUCAGGCUUCACAAUAAAGGAAGACAAGACAAGUGAUGGGUUAUCCCUAUCACUACUUGAUAACUAGCAAACUCUGGAUUCUCUUUUUGUUAAAACUCUUAGACAGACGCUUUCCCCGGCAACGGCGCCAGAAAUGCUUGUUGACACUUCUUAACGCAACCACCGGAUAUCGGCGACGGCGCCAGAAGUGCCCUGGUAGGGUAACUCUAUUUACUAUUGGAUAAUUCCGCAAGCGCACAGAAUGUACCGCUGUAGCACUUCACCAAGGAGUAUUCCAAGGUAUCGUAAUUUAUAUUUUCCCAAGGGAAAGCGGCUAAGUGUGUUUAACAAAAAGGGGAAUGAGAUUCCUUGAGUUAUCUAGUAUCAACUAGUGAAUAAGGGUGGUAAAUAACGAAUAGGAAGGGUAGUGGUGAAUCCAAGGUCCUAUGCUAAAGGUAAAUGGUAGAGUUAGCUAGGUGGGAGGACAACGAGUGAGUAAAGGACUCCUAUGUAUCUAACUUGACUUCUGUGACUUACUUUAAUAGAUAAUUGUCUUAACUACGCUAGAGCCUUACUAACUGUGUGCGAGGGAUAGCCGAGCUGGUACGACGCUUAGAAGGUUUUUCACCUAACCCCUUACCGAAAGCGACUAUUGGGCUUAUGGACGCCUUACCUUUUAAGAACUAGCCUGUACGUGAGGAGAACCUAAUGCCGCCCACGAUCUGUCACCUACUAGGGAGUGCGCUCCUACUUUCCGUUCAAGCCAGCGGUAAUCAAAGGUAAUCUUAAGUAUGAGCACCACGCUCACACUUAAUCCUACAAGAUAGGACGAUGAUGCACACACAGGAGUGGUUACAGGUCACUAACUUCACUAAGACAACUAUAUUACUAAAGUAAAUGCACAACAAGACUAAAAGACUUGCACUAAGUAAGAACUUAGUAAAGUAAAGUAAGAAUAAUAUAUUAAUAAAAGGAAAGUCUUACAAAAGUAGAAAGGUACAAGAGCUAUACCAGACUCUCCAGAAGACGACUCCGGAGACCCCGAGCUUCGCUCGACUCGACUCUAACUCCCACUCUAGACUAACUACUACUCUACUUGUAUGCUUGGAACUUGUAAUGCACUUGGCCUUGGAAUUGCACACUUGAAAUGAAGGAUGGAGGCUGCCUUUUAUAGAGGGAGAUGGAGUAGGGGUUACUCCAUCGCCACGUCAUUGAUCCGCGUGACAUCUUCUCUCCACCCUUGGAUCAAACCGACCUCACAACCGCCAUUUGAUCAACGGCAGGGGCAAAUCAACAUGUGGGACAUGUGGGGAAGGUCGGUGGGAGGCCACCGACCCUGGAACCGCCUUUGAUGUGGGGUCGGGCGACCCCACUUCUGGGCCUCUGGGCCCACCAGCAGUGUCCACAGGGGUCCCUUAUGUCGGUGGACUAGGUGGCACACCUGGGUCCCACCAAAGAGGGGUCGGGCGACCCCCUCCCUGUGGGCCCAGGGUGUCACCUGUUGUCCCCUCGAUCUCCUCUUGAUGAUUCUGAUGUUGGCUUUGUCAAAUAAUGUCUUGAAUUUGUUGUUCCUGCAUAAACAAGCUAAGAGUACAAGUGGAACUAGUUAUGGAUAAAAUAUGUUCAUGUCAUGUCGUUUCCCCUUGCAACCGAGGCAUGUUGACAGUGUUUUGUAUGUGGAUUUCUAUGGUAUAUCCACCGUCAACAACAUCACAACACAAGACACACACACACUCACAUAGUAGAGCUACACACUUCAUACCACGCUUGUAUUCGCCCCUGUACAAGCACUUAGGUGCAAGAUAAUACAAACUCUCUCCCCCCCGCUGGACGUAGGGCCUUCUCUUGCCCGAACCAGGAUAAAUCUCUGUGUCUUCUUGCAUCACCAUCCGGAAAGGGGAGCACGCAUACAAAUUUACUCGUUGGUGUGACCCCCCGGGGGAAAAACACCGACACUUGUUGACGGUCCUUUGCUCAUAUUUAACCAUCAAUUAAUCAUGGAAAAGGAUCCAAAUGCAACCAACACCUAGACUUAGGGUUUUAUCUGACAGAAUUCCACGAGUUUUGGUGUUUGUCUAUUUCUACAGGGGGUUAUCAGGAAAUACGGAAGAAAGGCUCACAUGUCAUGUUUACAUAGAGAUAUUAACGUGCUGCACAAUUUUCUAUCAUCUAGAAGACUCCAGAAGCCACGGGAACAAAGCAGAAGCCGAGAGGACUCAGGGACAGGGCGCCCGCCCUCCUCUCCUGGGUGCCCGCCCUCACAUAGAGUCCAAUCCGGACUCCCUUUCGGGAUAUUGCUCCACCGACCUAAAGGAUCAAGGAUAAUCGUUCAAUCAAUGUCGGUUUGAUCCAACGGCCCAGAUUCACUUGAAGGGACUAUAAAACCAGACCCCCUGGCCCCUGGAGAUCAUACCUCUUCUACAGAAUCAAACCUAGGGUUUCAAUUCUUCAUCCAAGUAGAGAGGAUCCCUCUAGUUCAUCUAGUUCUAGUUCUAGUACCUCUAGUUCUAGUUCUAGUUAGUUCUAAUUGUAAUCUAGAAAAUAGGGAGAGAGAAGAGAAGAGCGGAGGAGGAGGAGCCGGAUCUGUCGGAUCUUCCUCAACAUUGUACUUUUGCAGCAACUGGUUCGUUCUUCAUCGUUCUCCAAGUUCUUCAAUUCAUAAUUCCUGAGUUCUUUAAUUACUUUUAUUUACAUUCAAGUUAUUUAUUGGAUUCCCGCUUGCAUCAAGUGCUCUAGUCUUUAUAACACUAGAGUAGUAAUUAAUAGAUUAGACGUGGUGUUUAGUCUUGCAAUUACCUGGAAUUGCACCCAAUCCUGCGGAUUGUUGUGGUAGCCCUAGGGUAGUGACAGCCCUAACGGUCGACGUAUUCCACCUCGUUCGGAUCGGUGUUUGUAGGACCGUAGUCAGAGCUUCCUAGCCCCCUUCUCAUCUCUUUCUGUGGUUAGUGUUCUGAUGUCCCGAAAUAAAUAAUCUUUGAAGUAAUUCUUUAUUCUCAGAUCAAUUAGAGAACUCCUGCUGCUGCUGCUCCUCCUGCUGAUGCUGCAGCUGCUCCUCCGGCUGGGGUCGCUGCUGCUGCUGCUUCAGUGACGGCUGCGUCGCCUCGCGCUCCCGCUCCUCCUCCUCCACCAUCUUCCUUUGCGCCUCGAGAGCUCGAAGGCCUGCAGGCCAGGGAGUCCGUCCCGCGACGUUGGGGGUCGAUGCUUCUUCCUCCAUAGGUCGAGCGCCCCCAGACGCUUCGUUGCCAUCAGACGUAUCGCUGAUGGUGAUGGGUUCCCCCUCGACCCCCAAUCGAGAGGGCUCGGGGGCUCCCUCUGACGCUCGCGUCUGGGGGGCCGCAUCAUGAGUCGGCGGCGGCGGAGUAGGCGCGGGACGAGAUAAAGCCCUCUCGACGCCGGCUGGAGGUUGGGUGCUGGAUGAGCCUACAAAACAAAGGGUAAGGGUCAGACGUUAUGAUAACCAACGCAAGAAUAUCGCGACGCCCGGGAAUUAACUACGAACCUGGUUCCGUGGAGGCGGCACCCGUUCUGAGCCUCUUGGCCAUAGACGGUUGGGCCUGCUCAAGAGUCCGCUUCAGCCUGAGAAAAGGUCGGCAUAUGAGGAAAGGUGGAAGAAUGGGAAGACAAAAACCGCAACAUCAAAAAAGGCUUACCCCACGGGGAGAACGGCUCGCCUUCCGCCACCCCGACCAGCGGGCCUCGAGCCACCCAGCGUCGGGGCUCCGGGCCCCUCGAGGGCACGAACCAGCUUAGGCACGUCGGUUCCCGCCUGGCGGACGCCUGGACCCGCGCUCUUACGGCCGGCAUCUCCUCUCUCAGAGGCAGCGGCGCGACCACGGGUUAGCGGCCCCGACGCCUGGGACCUAGCCGGAUCGCUCUCCCUGGGCACCGGGGGAGGGCGCGGUGCGUCUUGUCCCACCUUGGGCGCGGGAGGGGUGUCGGCCCGGGGACGACGAGAUCCGCUCGGACCCUCCUCUGGCGCCUCUGUCCGGGGGGCGUCGGCGUCGCCUCGAGGCGGGCCCUCGAGGAUCCGAUCGAGGCGCGACGCCAUCCCCUCGGAGUCGUUGCUGUCCUCGUCGUCAUCGUCGUCAUCAUUGGGGGAUUCUUCCUUAGGCUCCCCCCUCUGCCUGGAUUUGGCUCGACGCGCCUCUAAUGCUUGGCGGUCGAGGUUCUUCUUCUUCUCCCCCUUCUUUGCGGAGUCCUUGGCAGACUUCAGCUUUUCGGCAGAUUGGCGCCGUUUGUCGCGAUCGACCUCGUCCUCCUUUACCGGAGGCCUCGAGGACCGGACAUCAAUCCGACCCUGCCAAAACUAAGGUAGACUUAGAAAAAAGAGAGGGGAGAAAGGAAACUUAGAGUUGGGGAUGCGCGUAAGAAGAAAGCGUACCAGAUCGAUCGAGCCUGCGUCAGGUCUCAUGGGGAAGCCGUUGACAUGCUCCGGCUGAAAAUCACCGGCAAUUGCGGCCCUGACUCGGGCCGCGACUUCGUCGUCCACCGGAGGCUCGUUGGACAUCCGACAUGCCUCGAGGUCCCGAGAUGAGACGCCAGGGCCCAUCUCGUCCAUCCUCAACGGUCGUGACAUCAGAGGGAGAACUCUCCGAUGAUGGACGGCCGAGAGGACGAGGGCGGCGGUCAAACCUUCCUGGCGAAGCUUCCUCAGGGCGUCGAGGAGAGGGUCGAGCCGAGACUGAUGAGCUUGGACGACGCCGUACGUCCAGUCCGCUGGACGCUCCAAGAUCAGACGGCCCGAGUAGAAAGGCAGGAGGUUGUCGUCGUUCCGCAGGUAGAACCAUUGGGAGUCCCAGCCGGCGUGGUUGGUCGACAACCCUACCGAGAUGUACUCCCGCGGCCGGUCCGUCUUCCCCGUCUUCUGCACCAGAUUGAGGCAACCCGCCCGCAUGGGCUUCCUUACGCCCGUGGUUCCGGUGGAGGCGUGAAACAGCUCGCCCCUGUAGAGGUGGAGCCACAGCUCCCAGUGCGGCAUCAUCCCCAGGAAGCCCUCACACACGGCGGCGAAGACCGCCGCUACGGUGAUGGCGUUCGGAGAGAAGUGCUGGAGCUCCACCCCAUAAUGGAAGCAGAGGGCUCGCAUGAAACGGCUUGGAGGCGCGCCCAGACCGUGGUGGUGAAACUUGGCGAACGACACCACGUAGCCCUCGGGCGGCUGAGGCGCCCUGUGACUCGCCGGCGGCGCGAUCCACUCUGGCGACGACAGCGAGGUGCGGCGGCGCAGCAGUCCCUCCUUCUCAAGCUCUAACAGCCGGCGCUCCGUCAUCGACGACGGGCGCCAGUCGUCGGCGGCGACGAGUCUUACAGGCAUCUCGGCUAAAGGGGCGGUGGGUUCGCUACAGCUCGAGGGGGCGUGUGCGCGUGAGAUGGCGAGAAAGCAAAGGCAGCGAAGGAACAAGAGCGAGAAGGCGGAAGGGAGAGGAACGGCGGUGACGCGACGACGUAUUUAUAGGCAGCUGUCCGCCAACGGACAGAUCCGAGAAGUAAGGUAACUCCCCCCACAAAUGCGCCGCCUGACAGUCCUCUCUCUCUCCUCACAGGACGGACUCUCCGAAUUCCUCGCCGAUACGGUGUCGUAACGUCAUCCGCCUAAAAAGGCGCGCCCAACGGGCAGAAAGGCGAACCGCCACGGCCGUUUCCUUCCCUCGUAAGCCAAGGGACGUAACCACAAAAGUCUCGAGAGGUCGAUGGCUGGCCCGCCAAAAGGGUUCGACAGCCGAUCUCGAGCGCCAGAGUCAGGGAUCCCCAGCGAGCGGUCGAAGAUCGAGGCCCGCCUCGAGGACUCACUGGCGAUGUUCAAGGUAGGGUCGAGACAGUCGAGAGGAAUCCCCCCGACAGGAGGCAUCGAGCCGCCGGUCUCUAUCGAAUGAGACUGGUAUCCCCGACCACGUCGACCCCGCUUUAUGAGGACGCCUCCGGGCUACAGCUGACCCCCUCGAAAGGGGCACAGGUUCUCACUGGGACUACCCGCUAGGAACUCAAUUUGGGAUGGAAGACGCUCGCUCUAUCGAGAGUACGUCGAAACCCCCGGGCAAAAACGAGCCAAUCGGAAUCUUCCACCACUGGUGUCGAAAGCGUUUCUGCGAAUUAGAUAACAUAGCCCUCGAAGGAGUCAAAAACUCCUCCGAGGGCUCGGGGGCUACUGUCGAGGGUAUCGGUAAGGGGUACCCUCAGCGAUGCGCAUUAUGAGAUUGCCCGUACGAAGGUCGAGACCCUUAAUUCGACGCUCUAAUCUUACGUAUGCGCCGCCAUCGACGGUCGCAGCCUCGAAGACGGAAAUAGCGUCGAGCGAAUCGGUCAGGGCUCGAGCGACGACUGCCGUCGAAAACGGAAGCGGGCUCGAGCGAACCGAGAGGCGUCGGGCGCAAGGACACUGUCCGCCGCCCGACGCGCGCACGCGGGCCGGAGCAUUAAAUGCACCUGACGCUUCCCCACCUAACACACAGGUCACGGAAGGCGUGAUAGGGAACAAGCUUCUGUCCCAUCGUUCUUUUUGCAGCCUUCCCACCGAACGACCCAGGGCGUGUCAGGACGCAGGAAACAAGGAUGGAACGUCUAAUCGGGACCCCCUCGAGACACCCAAGGUCAGCGCUCCAGAUACCAGCAUAUUACACGGCGUCCGACCCUCGACCGAACAGCGUCCCUUCCUAGGGACAAGUUGGGCAUCGACUGACAACACCACAGCUACCCCGCCGGGUCCGCCACCAUACCGUACGAGCAUGCGACCUCAGAACCAGCACAAGGCGGCUGGCAGGGCAAAACGCAGGAGCACGCGUAAUCAUCACCGGGCUAUCAAGAUGGGACGGCUCGAGGCCAUGCCGUAUGGAAGCCUCGAGUAGGUCAGCGUUCCAUGCGGCUAUCGAUCCCUACUCUAACAUCUACGCAUGUACCCUGUGUCUCUCCUUGGAGCUAUAAAAGGAGAGACUCAGGAAUAGAAGAGGGGGACAUCACAACACAAGACACACACACACUCACAUAGUAGAGCUACACACUUCAUACCACGCUUGUAUUCGCCCUUGUACAAACACUUAGGUGCAAGAUAAUACAAACUCUCUCCCCCCCGCUGGACGUAGGGCCUUCUCUUGCCCGAACCAGGAUAAAUCUCUGUGUCUUCUUGCAUCACCAUCCGGAAAGGGGAGCACACAUACAAAUUUACUCGUUGGUGUGACCCCCCGGGGGAAAAACACCGACACUUGUUGACGGUCCUUUGCUCAUAUUUAACCAUCAAUUAAUCAUGGAAAAGGAUCCAAAUGCAACCAACACCUAGACUUAGGGUUUUAUCUGACAGAAUUCCACGAGUUUUUGUGUUUGUCUAUUUCUACAGGGGGUUAUCAGGAAAUACGGAAGAAAGGCUCACAUGUCAUGUUUACAUAGAGAUAUUAACGUGCUGCACAAUUUUCUAUCAUCUAGAAGACUCCAGAAGCCACGGGAACAAAGCAGAAGCCGAGAGGACUCAGGGACAGGGCGCCCGCCCUCCUCUCCUGGGUGCCCGCCCUCACAUAGAGUCCAAUCCGGACUCUCUUUCGGGAUAUUGCUCCACCGACCUAAAGGAUCAAGGAUAAUCGUUCAAUCAAUGUCGGUUUGAUCCAACGGCCCAGAUUCACUUGAAGGGACUAUAAAACCAGACCCCCUGGCCCCUGGAGAUCAUACCUCUUCUACAGAAUCAAACCUAGGGUUUCAAUUCUUCAUCCAAUUAGAGAGGAUCCCUCUAGUUCAUCUAGUUCUAGUUCUAGUACCUCUAGUUCUAGUUCUAGUUAGUUCUAAUUGUAAUCUAGAAAAUAGGGAGAGAGAAGAGAAGAGCGGAGGAGGAGGAGCCGGAUCUGUCGGAUCUUCCUCAACCUUGUACUUUUGCAGCAACUGGUUCGUUCUUCAUCGUUCUCCAAGUUCUUCAAUUCAUAAUUCCUGAGUUCUUUAAUUACUUUUAUUUACAUUCAAGUUAUUUAUUGGAUUCCCGCUUGCAUCAAGUGCUCUAGUCUUUAUAACACUAGAGUAGUAAUUAAUAGAUUAGACGUGGUGUUUAGUCUUGCAAUUACCUGGAAUUGCACCCAAUCCUGCGGAUUGUUGUGGUAGCCCUAGGGUAGUGACAGCCCUAACGGUCGACGUAUUCCACCUCGUUCGGAUCGGUGUUUGUAGGACCGUAGUCAGAGCUUCCUAGCCCCCUUCUCAUCUCUUUCUGUGGUUAGUGUUCUGAUGUCCCGAAAUAAAUAAUCUUUGAAGUAAUUCUUUAUUCUUAGAUCAAUUAGAGAACUCUCUGGAAACUUCCUCUCUUUCCACCAAAAAUAAUUAUAUAGUUAUCCUUAGGCGAUCUUGAAUCUUAAUUAGUACACUCACGUUCCCUGUGGAAAAUCGAUACUCUGGAAUACUCCCGGGUGAAACCUACAUCGGUAUCCGUGCGCUUGUGGAAUUUUCUGUUUGCGUUUAAAAUACGCAACAAUAAGGAACAAAAGUUGUUUCAUGGACAUCUCAUGAAAAUGAUCACAACUUUCUCAAAAAGUGCUUACAAGGCAGAUUUGGGGGCUAUUUUGACACUUAGCAAAAUUUUGCUAAGUCGUGGUGCCACCAGUUUACCUGAUCGAUUUUGGGAGCUUCAUAUCUCUUCAUCCAGGCUGAAUUUUUCUUUGCUCCAGUUGACAAACUUGUAGAACUCGGUCAGUACUCCAAGAAUGUCAACUACACCAUCUCCUAAUUCGCCACGGUUUGGAAGAUAUGCAACUCCAAAGUAGCUCUACCAGACUAGCAUUACAAGCUCUGAUGGUGAGCUCGGCUCGCCGUCGUGGCCGACCAGCGCAGCACCUGGCUGCCAUUUGGCGACCGUACGCUGGUGCUGGCCCCACUCGUCAGGUCGUCGACGCCGUCAUGGAUGCCACGCCACCCCGCACACGCCCAGUGCCCGUCCACUCUCUCCCUCCCGCUCUCUCGCGACUCCGACGGCGAAAACGCCAUCGCCAUUGCCGUCGAGAGCUUCAUGAGCUCCUCACGCUCUCGUCUUCGUGUCUCACCUCUCCUCCGAGAUUCUGCGAGUCCGCCUCGAGCUCUUCCAUCUUCUCGACCUCUUGGCUGGUGGAGAUCUCCCCGAGGUGAGCCGCACUUCACAAGGUUGUCGUCGUCGGGUUCACGGCCGUCGUGACCCUGAUUCCGGCAAACCUCGCCGCUGCUCUAUCCCUGCCUUCUCCCUUCUUUCUGAGUCACGUUAGAGCUUGUCUAGGUCAUGGUCGUGGUCUGUGUCCCCCCAUUCAGGCCUUGGUGACACCGUCGUGCGGGAAAACGGCCAGCGCACCGCCGUGCUCACCGCCGACGACCACCCCGCACGUGAGCAGACUCAUCGGAGCCAUUAGGGUUAGGCCUUUCUACCUAGAAAGCUCCACAUUGUCUCAUUAAUGCUUAAGCCGCCCUUCCCCGACGCUAUACCGGUCGGAGAUGGCCGGCGUAAGCCGAGGUAGCUCCGCCGUGCCGCCAUGGCCGACGGCGACACCUUCCCGUCGCUCCAACCCUAGAGCCACCUACCUCUAUCGACGCGGAAUGAUCAAGGAGCACGCUGAUGCCUUUGGAUCCACCGGAGAAGCUCAUCAUCGGCGAGCAUUCGCCGGCGAGUGUGUUCUCUGCUUCCUGUGACGCUGACACGCGGGUCCCACUAUCAGUGGCACAACGGCUCCCUCCUCUCUUUUAUUUAAAUCCCAGAUUUCUUGCAAUAUUGCAAAAAUCAUAUCUUCUGUUUCUGAGCUCCAAAAGUUGUGAAACAAAUUUUUUGAUGAUCCAUGGGAUGGCUAGUUUUUAAUAAAAAUAUAAUAUGCACCAUGUUUUCUGUGAAAAAUAAUUGUUAUAUAUUAAUCUUGUUAAUUCUAUGUAAAUUCAUAUCUUUUAAUAUACUGCUUAAAUUGUUAUGAAAUUUUAUGCUAUGCUCUGUAUAGUAUUGGAAUGCUCUGGUAAAUAUUUCAUGAUUUUUGGGGUGCUAUAUCUCUGAUAUGUAAUUUAUGUCCAUACUAUUGCUUAAAUCCAUGUUUAAAUCAUAUUAAAUGUUAUAUGCUUAUGGUGGUGUUCUCCUUUGGUGUCAAGCUUGCUCAUAGUAGUAGUAACAUGUAAAUGAUCUGAAAUCUAUUGUUUGACACUAUUUAAGCCAUGUUUCUUAAUUUAUGAUAUAAGUACCUUGCUGCAUGUUGAUUGAAUAUCUCAAGUUUGGCAUGUGCAAUUGCUCUGAAACUUUUUUGGUGAUGUCCAGGUGCCAUGCUUGUACUUCUGUAAUUUUUAUAGAUUUUUCUGAGCACUCUUGCUGGUAUCUUUUAAUUAUGUCCUUUUAUGAACUUAAAUUAAUAAAUGCCUUUUUGUUAAGUAUUUAGUUAUCAACAUGUGGUUUUCUGGUAAUCUUAGUUUAUGUUUGUGCUUAUGAAUCACGUGAUGAUGGUCGAUCUCUUCCUGGUCGAUGAUUCUGACGAUGGACGAUCAGCCGGCAAAUGAAGGAAGGCGGCGUGCCUCAAGGGCAAGAAGGAGCGUGCGACUCAAGGCAAAGAAGGAGCAUGUGCCUCGAGGGGAAGGAGUGCAUAGGCUGUUAGGGAAGAAGGGCGGCGUCCCUCAAUGGGAGGAAGCACGAGCGUGCGGCGAGCCUUCGAUAGGGAAGGGCUACGACGUCGCUGGAUGAAACAGGCCGCGACCUCAACCUGACCCUCCGUACCUAAUAGAUCGAAUUAUUACUUUUAUUUACCUAAACAGUUUUAUAGUAUAUAUAAAAAAUCGACUAUGGCUUAAGAAGACAUAAAACCAACUGUAGUGCGAUGGUAAAUGUCCCUCUAUGACUACCAAGGGUUCUGAGUUCAAAACCUGGUUUUGAUUGUUUUUUGUAAUUUUUUUAUAUAUGACCAUUGUGCUAACAAAUCUUGGUAUUGCAACGGCAAGAAACUAUUUGCAACAACAAUAAAAUCAUGGCAAUAGUAACCAAUUAAUGCAACCAAGAACAAACCGUUGCAAAUUCAUCUUUGUACUGAAACGACAAAACCAGUUUUUGCAACACCCGUGAUUACAUUGCAAAAAGUGACCUCUUUAUGCAACCAAUAAAUAAAAGUGUUGCAAUAUAUUCUUAAUAUUGCAACGCCAACUUAACUCUCAGCAACGGAAUUAACAUCGUAGCAAGAGUCAUAGACAAAUGCAACCAAUGUAUAAAAGCGUUGCAACAUCAUCUUAGUAUUGCACCGACAAAAAAAUUCUCCGCAACAGGAAAUAAAUCAUGGCAAGAGUGACAAUUUCCUGGAACCCUCAUCAAUUGCGUUGCAACAACUCUUACUUUCUGCAACGAUCUUCAUACUUAUUGCGACAAUACAAGUUGCGUGGCAACAAAACCAUCUAUCGCAACCGAAAUGACAAAUGGUUGCGAAAGCACACAUUCUUGCAACCAAAUAAGUGUCGCUGCACCAAAAAUGCGUGGCAAAAGGGUUGAAAUCUUGUAGUGGUCUUUACAGAAAUUAUGUUCCACAAACUCUCGUUGUGCAAAAGAACAGAAGACUGCACACACAACUGGGAGAAAAAGCCAUGCUAGACUCAAAAAAGAGAUGGUGAUAAAUAUUCAUCCGCUGAUAUUUGUUAUAUCCCACUAUCAUCUAUUUUAGUUUUGAAAUGACACCCAAAUAACUCUAUUGUGCAGGAAUCCAGAAAUAAAAGAAAGGUUCAUAGGAUAGAACUAUGGGAGGCAGCUCAUAAAAAAAAGAAUGGCAUAUAUACUACCAAAAAAAUGGAGACAUCGAUGGUACGUACAUUUUCUGGUUCAAGUGGUUUAUCCUUGAUCUGAAAAUCAGUUUACAAUUAUGUAACCUUCCCAUAUACUCAUUUCAAUAGGCUGCAUCUCAUGAGGAAUUAAAAAUAAGGAGAGGGAACAAUGAUGGUAAUCGUCUUUCAUCCAAAGAUUACAAUGAAGUGUUCAACAAUAUUGUUGCCAAGGAGUUUAAAGCACGUGGAUACUAUGAUAAUAAGUACUGGAGUCAAGUACAAGUUUCUCAAGGUUUGACUUUUGUUACUCAAACUGAGGAAGAAAGAAUGUACCAAGAGAAAGUAAAUGCAUUGGAAAAUAAGAUGGAAUGCAUGAGUGGUGCCAUGAAGCACUGGGUUGCUUUUAUGUCAAAAAGGUAUCCAGAAGACGAUAUGAUAAAGGCAAUGGGAGCAGCUUUACAAGAUAAAGUAAGCUUAUGUUGAACCAUGCCCCCGCUCUCUCUAUCUCUCUCAGAAUAAGAGCUAAUUUUUUUAACCUUGUGUUGGUUCAAAUUUUUCAAGAAGGUGACAAUUAUGACCAUGAGUGUACUGAUGAUGGCAUCUCUAAAAAUUAUGUUUUCGUACAUACUAAUGGCAUUCAUGAAGACUCAGAUGCUGAUGUGAACUCUCCAACAAAUGAAGUGCAGGUAUAGCUACUUUGUCAUUAGCUAUAUAAUAUUUAAGUUCAUGCUAAUGGCUUGUAGAACAUGGUUCAGGUCAACCGGCAACAACCUUCUGUCUAUAGAAGUCCCGGACGAACUGAAGUCCAUACAUCUAAACCACAUAAGAAAACAACUUCAAAGGUAUGUUAGAAAUGCCUACUUGAUUAUCGAUGCACAUGCCAAAAGUCUAGAAAUAUAGCUAUUAUUACCAACAACAUCAAGCUACAUUUAUUUUGUGUCCCUUGCAUAGCUUUCCCUAUCUUGUAUUCGGUUACUAGCUCUAUAGGUUCAGUAAUCGAUCAGUUUCAGAUCUUUUACCGUGUGUUUGGUUGGGGGUUGGGUGGGUUGGGUUGGAUCCAACCCAGUUUUUUGGGACGAAGCCAAUCCAAAAGAGUAUUUGGUUGCACUUCGAUUUUAGGGACAGACUCAACCUGUUUCAGUGUUUGGUUGAAGGAUUGGGGACGGAGCGGCUCCGUUCAGUGUUUGGUUGAAGGAAUUUAGUAUUUGGUGAACAUCAACCCGGCUGGAGCGGAUCCGUCCGCCAGAUUUUGACGGACGAGUCCAACCCGCCUCUAAGAGGAAUAUUCCACUCUGAAGCCAACCCAACCCUCCCAUCCUCCAACCAAACAGCCACGGGAAUGGGUUCGCUCCAACCUGGCUCGCCCCGCUCUCCAACCAAACACAAGGUUACAUUCCUUGUUGGCAUCUCGGAUCGCUCCCUGAUUUAUAUGAUUGCAAUGUGUUUAAUUUUUCUAAUAAACUAGCCAACUACACAGGUAUUUGUUGUCCUCGUCACUUUAAUUUUACAAGCUUGAAUGCAUAAAAACUUUUGAUUGAACUUGUUCUGUCAUACUAAAACAAGAGCUAUAUAGACAAGUGUAGUAUAUUUUUUUGGUAAGUUACGAGCAUGUGCUAGGUUCGAGGGUACUCAUUUGUCACUGCAGUGCAACAUGCUAGGUUCGAGGGUACUCAUUUGUCACUGCAGUUCAACUUAUAUUAAGCAUGAGUGGUGUUGACAUAAAUUCCUUGGCCUUGGCCGUAAUUUGCAUAAGAACAUAUAAAUUAUUUGCCUUCUAUUCUAAAUCUUAAUUAGCAUGCUCCAUUGUCUAUGGUUCUAUUCACAUAAAAUCUGCUGAAGCAUAAAUUAUUUGAACUAAAUCAUUUUACAUGUAUGCUGCACACGCUUGAUCCAUUCAUUCACAUAAAAUCUGCUAAAGCAUAAAUUCUUUGAACUAAAUCAUUUUACAUGUAUGCUGCACACGCUUGAUCCAUUCGUAUCUGUAGAUGGUUUAGGUUAUCAUCUCACAUCAUGUUUAUUUCUAGUUGACUCAUGUAGAGAAAAAAUCACUCUUGAUACAUGAUUGGGUCCAUUGAUUGCUUAAUUCAAUGCCUCUAAUAUUUAUCUUUUCUUUUUCCAUAUUAACUUAGCUAAACUAUGCCUGCAGGAGGCACAACCUAAUGGAAAUGUAAUCACAAAUUUGUCACGUGAUCCAAUAUUGCACAAUAUGGUAUGUCCAAGCUAAUAAUAUAAUAUUGUUUCAUUUGAAAUUUAAUGACUGAAAUUGAAUAAGCGAUGCUAUGUUUUGUUGUUUUAAAUCAUUUCUAUUAUAGAGAACUCGAAGGACUAAAGCCACCAACAUGAGCAUACUAGAAUCAGUAUGUGCUUCUAUUUGCCUUAUUUCUUUUCAGAUCACAUUAGUUACCCUUUCAAAGAUCAUAUGUUCAUGUUUUGUAAUUUGUAGAGACUAGAGGAAGUCUAUCUUAUUUCACUCAUAAACAAAGGCGGAGUUGUGGCCAAAGGAAAGUUAGUGACUACUGAUAGCCAAAGAGAGAUUUUAGGAACAAAGCUUGGAACCGAAUACUGGGGGGUUUAUGUUGAAGACCUUAAGAAUAUUGAACGUGGCAAUAUUGGAGAUGAGGAGAUAUCUAGACAAUUUGAUCAGAUUCGUACACUAAUUGAUGCUAUUGGCUUUGUUAUUGCUUGGCCAAGUACACUUGUAAGUUUGAUUUUUUUCCAUUUAAAAUAGUACAUGUGAAAGGUCCAAAUGCCUAGAGGGGGGGUGAAUAGCCUAUUUAAAUUUUCUACGAACUUCAACUAGACAAGUUGAUUAGUAAAACAAAAGGCGAAGCUAUUCUAGCACUAGCACAACUAAGCUUUGCAAGCCACCUAUACAAGUCUAGCAAGAAGACUAAACACUAAGUCACAACAAGAAAGCAUAACUAAAGCCUAUCUACACUCCUAAGCAAGAAGGCUAAGCUAAGCAAACUAAACAACUAGCAAGGUAUGCAAUUAAGUGAUGGAGUGGGGAGUGAUUGUUAUACCAAUGUUGUAGAGUGGGUAUAUGACCAGUCAAUCAAUCACAAGAGAAUCCUCGGCAAGAGAUGACACAAGAUUUUUUACCGAGGUUCACUUGUGUUGACGGUCCUUAAGUACCAAAUAUAAUCAUCAAAUAAAUAAAGAAAAGGAUCCAAAUGCAACCAACACCCAGACUUAGUGUUUUAUCUAAUAGAAUUCCACAAGUUUUGGUGUUUGUCUAUUUCUGCAGGGGGUUAUCAGGAACUAUGGAAAAAAAGGCCCACACGUCGGGUUUACAUACAGAUAUUAACGUGCCACGCAAUUUUCUAUCAUCUAGAAGACUCUAGAAGCCACGGAAACGAACGGGAGGCCGAUCGGGCUCGGGGGCAGGGCGCCCGCCCUCCCCCCUUGGGAGCCCGCCUGUUGACGAAAGCUAGUCAGCAGUCUACCUCGGGGUAUACCCACGGUAGUAGUUUAUCGGUAGACGGUGCGCAAACUACGAACUCGAUGGUGACGCAAGACACGGACAAGCUUUUUAUCCAGGUUCGGCCGCCGAGUUGGCGUAAUACCUAUGUCCUGCGUCUGGUUGUAUUGAUUUGUGUUGAGAGAAUAAUGAUGUAUGAUUUGUCCUCUAGGGGACCCCUGCCCCUCCUUAUAUAUCCUGAAGGGACAGAGUUACAAGCAAAGUAUCCUAUUUGGUACAAAAUCUUGUAGCCUUGUGGUGCACGCCGACCAGUCGUGCGCCGGACGUCUUCAUCUUGUGGGCCGAGCCACCUCUGAUGGUGCGGCCCAUAUAGGCCCAUGAGGGUAUAGGGGUUUAUACCCCCACAGCUAGUCCCCGAGCACCAUGUAUUAUGAUGUAACACGCCGUCUUGAGCUUCUUCGAUCAGUGAGGCUUGACGUCUUCAAUAAGCAGGAAAGUCGCCCAAACAGUUGCAACGGUAUUUUGACCAACUCAAAAGAUAGUUGAUCAGCAUUGACAUCGAAGAAGCAGGUUGUUCGAAGAAUGCAUGGUGCUCUAAAUUAAAAAAGAUUUCUUUCCUGGUGAAGUGUGCCCACUUUACUUUUGUGAAAAGUAUAGACCUCAAAAAAGCAAGCAUAUUCACCGCAAGGUGAAGUGUGCCCACUUAGUCCCCGAGCCUGGUAGUAGGUGACGUAGGCACGUGGUGCCAGGGUCAAAAGAAAAGUCCUCAAAGAAAUUCUGAAACUGAAAUGCAUCGCCAGAUGCAUCAUACCGAUGUAGUCCCCGAGCUUGCUGGAAGGCGAAGUAUGAGCCUUGUAGCAAGGUCUAAAAAAUUGAAUUUACCAGUCCGUCUACAAUUGAAUAGACUAAUCGACCAGUCCCCGAGCAUAUAACACUCGGUGGUCGGUAUAGUCUCCGAAUUCUCAAAUUGGUGGGCUGGUCGACCAGUCCCCGAGCGUAUAGUGCUCGGUGGUCGGUACAGUCUCAAAACUCUCAAAUUGGUGAGCUGUUCGAACAGUCCUCGAGCGUAUAGUGCUCGGUGGUCGGCACAGUCCCCGAGCACGGCGUAGGGACCGGUGGACAAGUCCCCGAGCGUGGUUGGGAACGUAAACGUGCUCGGUGGUCGGCACAGUCUUCGAGCACAGCAUAGAGAGUAGUCGACAAGUCCCCGAGCGUGGUUGGGAACGUAAACAUGCUCGGUGGUCGGAGCAGUCCCUGGGCACAGCGUAGGGAAUAGUCGACGAGUCUCCAAGCGUAGCUUGUCGACUGGGCCAAACUCCUGAAAAAUAAAUAUAAAGAAUUGGUAGUACAUAAUGUAUAAAUAACCUUUAGAUAAAAAAUCAGUACUAAGAUAAGUUUUAGAUUUUUUGUUAUAACAUUAGCACGAGUAGUUAAUUCAUCCUAGAGCUUGUACCAGCUCUGGUCUAGCCCACAAUUAGCAUGAGGUGUGGAACCUAGGCACGCGUAGGAUUGUCAGCCACGUCAGAGAGCUAUUGCCGACCACCCGGAACGCAGAGGGCGGAUCUCGUGCACGUGUAGGGAGGAGUCGGAGACAGUACCGGCUCUGGAAAGCUCGUGUAGGAGAAAAACUAGUCGGCUAAAAAAGUUGUUUUGAAGAAUAAUAAUAUUAAAAAUAUUAUGCCAAAAAUAAAUAAAAUAUUAGAAUUGUACUUAUCUUUGGACGAAAGUCUGGUCGGGACAGUUGCUUGACUUGUUGUCAUGAUGGAGGUCGCGGCUAUCGUAGCGCCGUUCUUCGCGGCGAUUAUUAUUGCGACUCGUGGUCAGAGCAAGUAGGCCAAACAACUUGGACGAUAGCCUGAGCAGGUCGGUGUCGUCGAUCUGCCUCCCUUUGUAGCAGAGAAGCGGGUGACGCGUUGUCGGCGUGGUCGGAGACGUUGCUGGAGUAGUUGGAUUCGUAGCCAGCGUGGUUGAAGCUGCUGCCGAUGUCGAUGAAGAAGUGGUUGGCGCAGAUCGGAUCUGCACCUCCUCCGUGGUCGUGGCGGUGAAGCUGUUGAAGCUGACGGUGAACGUGAAGUCGCCCGCCACGGCCACGAAGUCGGGGAUGAUGACCAUCUCGUUCGUCGGGAGAGCUGUACGCACACCCCCUACCUGGCGCGCCACUGUCGACGAAAGCUAGUCGGCAGUCUACCUCGGGGUAUACCCACGGUAGUAGUUUAUCGGUAGACGGUGCGCAAACUACGAACUCGAUGGUGACGCAAGACACGGACAAGCUUUUUAUCCAGGUUCGGCCGCCGAGUUGGCAUAAUACCUACGUCCUGCGUCUGGUUGUAUUGAUUUGUGUUGAGAGAAUAAUGAUGUAUGAUUUGUCCUCUAGGGGACCCCUGCCCCUCCUUAUAUAUACUGAAGGGACAGAGUUACAAGCAAAGUAUCCUAUUUGGUACAAAAUCUUGUAGCCUUGUGGUGCACGCCGACCAGUCGUGCGCCGCACGUCUUCAUCUUGUGGGCCGAGCCACCUCUGAUGGUGCGGCCCAUAUAGGCCCAUGAGGGUAUAGGGGUUUAUACCCCCACACCGCCCACCUCUGGUGGCCAAUCAGGGUGAAUCAUGCAGAUUAUGCUCCAUCGCCUUUGAGGAUCAAGGAAAACCGUGCGAUUAAGGUCGGUUUGAUCCGACGGCCCACGUUCAUUUAGAGGGGCUAUAUAAGCAGGCCCCCUGGCCCCUGGAGGAGAGCAAUCCCCAUUAUUCAUUAGCAUAUUUUCCAAAGAGGAUUCAGAGAGAGAGGUUCCUUAGGGUUCAAUGUGAGAGUAGAAUUAUUUCUACUAGAUUGAGAGAGAUAGAGUGGAGGUGUAGAUCGGAGGAAGCCCGGUCUGCCAGUGUCUACUCCGAGGUUGUACCUGCGAGAUCAAGUCUCCUAACCCGAGGCUUGCUCCUAGGAUUCUUCAGUAUUUCGACUUCUAAAUUCUAGUAAGUUCUUUGUUUUAUUGUUCUUUGGUUUAUGAGUUUACUUUGAUCUCUUCGCGUAGAGUUUAGAGUAAUCAUCUCUAGAGUAAACCUGGUGUUCUGGCUAGGAUGCUCAUAGAUAUCCCCUAUCUAGCCAGACCGUGGUAGUAGCGAGGAACGUGACAUUUCCAAGUUACCUUUGUAGCCCAUAUCCCGUUAGCAGGAUCGAUAUGGUUUAUAGGUGCGGGUCGAACAUCCUCUGUGGUGUCUAGAUUCCGUUAGCCCCACCAACAGAACAGUAGAUCAUCCUUACCAUGGUUAGAACGAGAGUGCGGUUGUAGUCUUCUCUAUACAUCGCUCACAUCGAAUCACAUUGUUUGUAGCCUAAAGGGUAGUAGCAAUAGAUUUGGUUAGUCAGAUGCACGCUUUCUCCCAGUGGUAAAAAUAUAAAUACGAUACUCUGGAUAACCUUCCGGGUGAAGUGCUCACCGAUAUCCGUGCGCUUGCGGAUCAUUUCCUGAUGGCGUUAACAAAUAUCAACAAGCAUUUCUGGCGCCGUUGCCGGGGAGAAAGACGGUUUGCUGAGAUAACUUUGAGUCUUGCUAUUAUCUUGUAUUAUACUUUUAUACUUUUAUACUUUUAUUCUUUUAUCUUUUUAUUUUUUCCAUCUUUAUGGAUAACUCAAAUUCCACACCUAUUAUUGAAUUCUUUGCACCUUCGGAGACCAGCCAUAGACCAUGGGAGUCAACAAGUCCUUUCUUUGCCCCUAAUUAUGAUCUGUGUCCAGAGUCAAUUGCGAUAGGUCAAAACCAACCCUUUUCUAUAGCCGAGGUCCUAUCUUUUAAUCAAGAAGAUAAUGAACUUUUAGCUAGACUUAGGGAAUCUUCUAAUCUUUCUAUAAAUUCUGGUUUAGACCUAGCCCUACAAGACCAUGUUUUUCCUCGAUAUUUUCGCAUUGGUCUUAAUCAUAUAACGUUUGGUAGAGUUUUUCUUUCUUUAUCUAGUAAAGCAAGGUAUAUCUUCAUUCGUGGACAUCCUUCUUGCACUAGUCUUCAUAAAAAAAUCCUAGAGAUAGAGAAGGAAUCAUCUCCCAAACGAGGAAAGGAAGUUUCAAUAGCCGAUUUCCAAACAUUUCAAUCCCAUGAUUCGGCUAUCCAACCCAAACUAGUAGUGCUCCAAAAUCAUCUAAGGGAAGAAGAAAUUCUACCUUUAGAAAUUCAUUUUGGGAUGAGCUUAAACUUCCUGCUUCAUAAGAGACCUUUGAGUGCAUAUAGUCUGAACCUUCCUAAGAGGGAUCUCUUAGAAAGCAUCUCAAAUCCAAUCCCUCUAAUGGACAUCUAGAAAGACUCAAGGAUGGCGUCUUAAGUGAUGCAAUAGAAGGAGAGCAAAGCCAUUUAGAAGACAAUCUCAUCUUCUCCCCUUCUACGCCCACUUUUGAUGACUCAUUCGAACCUAUCUUUAAACCCAUCCUUGAGCCUAAUAAUUUCUACUAUGCUCUUUCUCUUGAACCUCCCGAUGAUCAUACGAACCUCUCUAGACAUCCCAUGCAUAAGAGUCACCAAGACCAUAAGGAGGAUCGAGAAGAGCAACAUCAAUGGCUAGAGGGCAUUAAAAAUCCAUGUGCUAUCACCAUUGAAUGGAUGGACAAGGAAGAAGCCUUAAUGGAUGAGAUUCAAAUGGUGAGUUCUUGACUCCCUUUGAAGAUGAGAUUCAUCCAACUACAAAAGAGGACAUAGGUGAGAUUUCCAACCCCGUUUUCCUUUCUAUUUAUAAAAACUUUAAAAGGGCGGUUGUCGAUGCAUAUGUCUAUAAUAAAUAUUGUAGAUCUCGUUGAGUUGAUCUUGAUAUAGGUCAGCGUUGGAGGGGAAACCACUUCGCCGACAUAAAUUGAUGGUUUCCCAAGGACAAGCUUAGUAUCCUAAAAUAAGCACUGAUCGGAUCGUAACAUGAGCUUUUAAUUAUUUGCAACAUUACCUUGUGUAUUGAGUAUAUAAGGAUAAUUGUAAAAAUAUUCCUUCGGGUAUUCUUGUCACUAACCUUUCCAGGAUUGGAGCAAGAAGAUCGGAUGAAUGACAAGCACAAGGUAUGUCCAACCAAUCAUCACACAACAUUGAAUUAAAUUCAUCCAAACUUGAAUUUUGCAAAAUUCAAGCUUGGGUGAGUACUUUACAUAAAAACAUUCUUUGCCAUGUUGCUAUGUUGGUUGUCCCUACCUUUGAGACAUGCUUAAUUUGUUAAAUACUAAUCACACUACUUCAUCUCCACUUGAGUAGAUCUCUAUAAAUGCUCUCAUGCUACCUUUAUUUGCUUUAGUAUAUGUCUUGGUUUGGAGUAGUUUCAUUUAUCUCUUAAAUAAGCAUGGUGCUUAGUUUAGGAAUGAUGAUCAUACUUCCAAGGGAUUUUAAAUUAAGCAUGGUGCUUAGGUUAAAAUGCCCUCCUAAAUCAAAUUAGACAUGGUGUCUAGGUUGAUUUUUGAGCCGAUAGUAGGCUAUAGUAGAUAUUGGAUAUUUUGUUGGACUAACCCCUGUAGGAAACUUUCAAUAUCGACCUAGGAAGUCCUGAGAUAAACUCACACUAGAGAUAAAGAGAGAGACACAUGAAGUUUAACAAUUUACACAAGGAAGACAUAGCUCAUAAGAGAUGAUCCAUAGAGGGUGCCACAAACACGAAACACAAUCGCUGAGAAAGGAAAGAUUCCACAAGGAGAUACUGUACCAUCACUCUUCAAGUAAGGUAACAUCUUAAGGUACUUAACUAUCACUUUUAUAAGCUUCUCCUUGGUUCUGGCGUUCAGAAGAAUAAAGAGACAAACAUAAAUUAACCAACCCAAUUAAUUCAACAUGUUUAGACCUUUAAUCUUUGUUCUUAGUACUACCUUCAUGAUCCCACACUCCUAAUCAUAUAAGCUAAAAUGUUGCACACUCAAUCUUUGGAAGAUAUAUAUAAAAAAACAAACAAAAAACAUGAAUAUAGAUAGAUUAUCUUUCCAUUAGGUUGAGCGAUCUGAUCCGACAAAUGUUUUAAAUGCUACACUCAUGAUCUUAUUAUCCAUCAACUUUGUCUGGCUCACUAUGCUUAAGGUUAGAGAAGAACAAAUACACUUUUGGUUUUGUUGGUGUUUUCCACCAACAGGGCCCAUGCACUUGAUCUCUGCCUUGUCUCUAUGAGCAGGUACACUUCAAGCAAAACAUGGAGGAGUUUUACAACUCCCAGACUCCACCAAGUGAAGGACCUAGAUCUACGAGCACAAACACACUGAGCAGGAUAUUGCCAAUGCCGCACUUCGAACUGCUGGGCAAACGAAGAACAUAGUUGACACUGUAUCAAGAGGUGCAGACGUCAAGGUCCACACUUGGAUCAAAUGACGCACCUAAAGAAUGAACACGGUGAGAAGUCUUGUUCAGAAGACAUAAAACAUUGAACCCUCGCCGAAAGGUAAAAUCAGUAGUAAUCCAUAUUUAUCCUUUCUGCAUUUUUCCUUAAAUUAUUUACUUUCCUUAAAAAGCUUGUUUGUUAAUCAUCCUACCAUGAAAAGAAAUUAAAAAUGUUAAAAACAGUAAGCCUCAUGUGAGUAUGCUCGAGGCAUAAAACCCAUAAGUACAUUCACUGUGGUGGCGUAAAAAUAAAAUAUUCCAGUCUUAUAAAAAUGAAAAUAUAAAAUUAAAUUUAUGAUCCUACCAAAGAGAGUAACAUUUAUUGAGGAGGCUCAAUAUGAUAAAGGCUAGAUAUUUAUGCUAACAAUUAACCAGUUCCACAAAGCUUUGUUGUCUAUUUGAGCUCCACAGAAUUCAAGGAUCAAAGAAGACUAGCAAACGGAGGACAUGACAUCCUAAUCACUGUCAGGGUGCUACCGACAUUCAAAUACACCUCCACCACCUGCUAGCUACAUUAGAAGAAAUUAUGUCAAAAUCCAGCUUGGGGGAGAGCACCCCCAUUUAUCGAGCUAAGUGUUUCUACUCGCGUUUAUACUUUACUCAAAUAAUAAAAAAGAUGCAUAAUCAUAAAAACCGAAAUAAAGAUUUUGUGCUUUUAUAUAUAUCUUUGCUUAGUUUGCUAAAUAAAUAAAUAAAUAAAGUUUGCUAUGAACCCUCAUGAUAAACUCUUACAUGGAUAUGAUAAAUAGUUGCUCUGUCAUGUACCUAGUUUUCAAGUUUGAGCUCUCUCUUAAGUUUACGCAUAACUGUUAUAAUUUAAAUUUGCUCUAAACCUGAACUUGUGGGAAGAGUACCUGAUCAAAAGUCUAAGUCGUUAACGGAUAUGAUAUGGGAAGGUUGAGCUGCUGUUUAUCUAUUCCUAGAGAUACUAGAAUUCUGAUGAAUUUUAUCUUUGAAAAUCUUUAAAAUAUUGCAUGAUGAGUUCCUGUAUGAUGAGAGCUUAAAAUCCUACCACAGCCAUAUAUACAUGCUUAUUAGACUAUGAACCAUACAUUUACUUUUCACUGCUUAUGAGCAUUGAGUGUGGUCAAGCUGUGUAGAACCUUAGGAGCUUGUCAUACGGUUAAAAUCAAGAUUCACUUGCACGUUCACUCAUACAUGCUACUUCUACUUCGGAAGUACGCAUCCACAUACAUUCACUCAAUUCCAUCUUCAGAUUCACCUAAAAUUAUUUUACUCCUAUCCGGGAGAGAAUAGCCAAAAACUUUUUCCUAUCCCUGUUAUUCCCUGUGAAAUAAAUGCUCCAGUUAUUUUGGUUACUACCAGUUGCUACAUUAUUCUAGGAGGGUGAGUGCUCUAAAAAAAGAAGAAAAAAGAAAAAAAGAAGAAAAAUAUGAGGAAAUAAAAAGGGGAAAGUGCCUGGAACCUCGAAGAAAAGAAAAAGUGAGACGAGAGGUAAAAAAUGGACAAGUGUCCGAGAGUAGAAUUAGGGGUACAAGAUACCCACCUCAGAGAAAAGAAAAAGAAAAUAUAGAGCAUCUCAUUCUCCUCAAAAAAGCUUCAAACUGCAAGAAAGGUAUAUAUCCCCUAAAAAGAGCAAAACUAGAAUUAGACUUUCACAAUUGUUAUCACCAUCAUCACCAUACACCAUUCAUUCGCCACACAUGCACAUCUUGAUUUGACUUAUUGACUUGUUUCUCUAGAUCCAUGGUUUGACUAUGCAAUAAAUGUCUUGUAAGUAUGUAUGCUUUAUCUCCCACCUAUGAGCUCCAGAUAUCAAAACCCUAUUAGAGUAGGGAGAGAGAGAAGGCAAUAUCACUAUGCCUCAUACCAAAAAUACCACAUACUUUGAGAGAAGGCAUAUACCAUUACUGCCUUGGAAAGGAUCCAGAAAUACCACAAAAGAGAGAUUUGAGAAAGUCAUACAAGGAAUCUCUGAGUUUUAUUUGAAAAUCUACAAAAACUCCAGAGCUAUAGCUGAUCAAAGAACAAGAGACAUGGCGCUUGACUAGACUGUUCUAUCUUUUAACUGCUCAAGACACAAGUGACGGUUGCAAGCCCCAUGGUGAAAGGUAAAAUGAGUAAGUUUUAAGUCUUAACAGUUUACUCUAACUCAGAGAUGAGAUCUUGCUUGAAUGCAUGUGUACUUUUAAGGCAUGAAACCACUGCAGAAACUCUUGAGUCCAUCCUUGCUCAGGGACGAGCAAGAGGUAAGCUUGGGGGAGUUGUUGACGGUCCUUAAGUACCAAAUAUAAUCAUCAAAUAAAUAAAGAAAAGCAUCCAAAUGCAACCAACACCCAGACUUAGGGUUUUAUCUGACAGAAUUCCACAAGUUUUGGUGUUUGUCUAUUUCUGCAGGGGGUUAUCAGGAAAUAAUGAAAAAAUGCCCACACGUCGGGUUUACAUAGAGCUAUUAACAUGUCGUGCAAUUUUCUAUCAUCUAGAAGACUCCAGAAGCCACGAGAACGAACGGGAGACCGAUCGAGCCCGGGGGCAGGGCGCCCGCCCACCUCUAGUGGCCAAUCAGGGUGAAUCACGCGGAUUAUGCUCCACGGCCUUUAAGGAACAAGGAAAACCAUGCGAUUAAGGUUGGUUUGAUCCAACGGCCCACGUUCAUUUGGAGGGCCUAUAUAAGCUGGCCCCCUGGCCCCUGGAGGAGAGCAAUCCCCAUUAUUCAUUAGCAUAUUUUCUAGAGAGGAUUCAGAGAUAGAUGUUCCUUAGGGUUCCCACCUCAUAGGGCUUAGCAUCCAAUGUGAGAGUAGAAUUAUUUCUACUAGAUUGAGAGAGAUAGAGUGGAGGUGUAGAUCGGAGGAAGCUCGGUCUGUCGGUGUCUACUCCGAGGUUGUACCUGCGGGAUCAAGUCUCCUAACCCGAGGCUUGCUCCUAGGAUUCUUCAGUAUUUCGACUUUUAACUUCUAGUAAGUUCUUUGUUUUAUUGUUCUUUGGUUUAUGAGUUUACUUUGAUCUCUUCGCGUAGAGUUUAGAGUAAUCAUCUCUAGCAUAAACUUGGUUUUUAGGCUAGGAUACUCAUAGAUAUCCCGUGUCUAGCCGGACCGUGGUAGUAGCGAGGAACGUUACAUUUCCAAGUUACCUUUGUAGCCCAUAUUCCAUUAGCAGGAUCGAUAGGGUUUAUAGGUGCGGGUCGAACAUCCUCUGUGGUGUCUAGAUUCCAUUAGCCUCCCCAACAGAACAGUAGAUCAUCCAUACCAAGGUUAGAAUGAGAGUGCGGUUGUAGUCUUCUCUAUACAUCGCUCACAUCGAAUCACAUUGUUUGUAGCCUAAAGGGUAGUAGCAAUAGAUUUGGUUGGUCAGGUGCACGCUUUCUCCCAGUGGUAAAAAUAUAAAUACGAUACUCUGCAUAACCUCGUGGGUGAAGUGCUCACCGAUAUCCUGCGCUUGCGGAUCAUUUCCUCAUGGCAUUAACAAAUAUCAACAAGCAUUUCUGGCGCCGUUGCCGGGGAGAAAGACGGUUUGCUGAGAUAACUUUGAGUCUUGCUAUUAUCUUGUAUUAUACUUUUAUACUUUUAUUCUUUUAUCUUUUUAUUUUUUUCCAUCUUUAUGGAUAACUCAAAUUCCACACCUAUUAUUGAAUUCUUUGCACCUUCGGAGACCAGCCAUAGACCAUGGGAGUCAACAAGUCCUUUCUUUGCCCCUAAUUAUGAUCUGUGUCCAGAGUCAAUUGCGAUAGGUCAAAACCAACCCUUUUCUAUAGCCGAGGUCCUAUCUUUUAAUCAAGAAGAUAAUGAACUUUUAGCUAGACCUAGGGAAUCUUUUAAUCUUUCUAUAAAUUCUGGUUUAGACCUAGCCCUACAAGACCAUGUUUUUCCUCGAUAUUUUCACAUUAGUCUUAAUCAUAUAACCUUUGGUAGAGUUUUUCUUUCUUUAUCUAGUAAAGCAAGGUAUAUCUUCAUUCGUGGAUAUCCUUCUUGCACUAGUCUUCAUAAAAAAAUCCUAGAGAUAGAGAAGGAAUCAUCUCCCAAACGAGGAAAGGAAGUUUCAAUAGCCGAUUUCCAAACAUUUCAAUCCCAUGAUUCAGCUAUCCAACCCAAACUAGUUGUGCUCCAAAAUCAUCUAAGGGAAGAAGAAAUUCUACCUUUGGAAAUUCAUUUUGGGAUGAGCUUAAACUUCCUGCUUCAUAAGAGACCUUUGAGUGCAUAUAGUCUGAACCUUCCUAAGAGGGAUCUCUUAGAAAGCAUCUCAAAUCCAAUCCCUCUGAUGGAAAUCUAGAAAGACUCAAGGAUGGCGUCUUAAGUGAUGCAAUAGAAGGAAAGCAAACCCAUUUAGAAGACAAUCUCAUCUUCUCCCCUUCUACGCCCACUUUUGAUGACUUAUUUGAACCUAUCUUUAAACCCAUCCUUGAGCCUAAUAAUUUCUACUAUGCUCUUUCUCUUGAACCUCCCGAUGAUCAUAUGAACCUCUCUAGACAUCCCAUGCAUAAGAGUCACCAAGACCAUAAGGAGGAUCGAGAAGAGCAACAUCAAUGGCUAGAGGGCAUUAAAAAUCCAUGUGCUAUCACCAUUGAAUGGAUGGACAAGGAAGAAGCCUUAAUGGAUUCUGACUUUGGCUCAAUUUCAAAUGGUGAGUUCUUGACUCCCUUUGAAGAUGAGAUUCAUCCAACUACAAAAGAGGACAUAGGUGAGAUCUCCAACCCCGUUUUCCUUUCUAUUUAUAAAAACUUUAAAAGGGUGGUUGUCGAUGCAUAUGUCUAUAAUAAAUAUUGUAGAUCUAGUUCAGUUGAUCUUGAUAUAGGUCAGCGUUGGAGGGGAAACCACUUCGCCGACAUAAAUUGAUGGUUUCCCAAGGACAAGCUUAGUAUCCUAAAAUAAGCACUGAUCAGAUCAUAACAUGAGCUUUUAAUUAUUUGCAACAUUACCUUGUGUAUUGAGUAUAUAAGGAUAAUUGUAAAAAUAUUCCUUCGGGUAUUCUUGUCACUAACCUUUCCAGGAUUGGAGCAAGAAGAUCGGAUGAAUGACAAGCACAAGGUCUGUCCAACCAAUCAUCACACAACAUUGAAUUAAAUUCAUCCAAACUUGAAUUUUGCAAAAUUCAAGCUUGGGGGAGUACUUUUCAUAAAAACAUUCUUUGCCAUGUUGCUAUGUUGGUUGUCCCUAUCUUUGAGACAUGCUUAAUUUGUUAAAUACUAAUCACACUACUUCAUCUCCACUUGAGUAGAUCUCUAUAAAUGCUCUCAUGCUACCUUUAUUUGCUUUAGUAUAUGUCUAGGUUGGGAGUAGUUUCAUUUAUCUCUUAAAUAAGCAUGGUGCUUAGUUUAGGAAUGAUGAUGAUACUUCCAAGGGAUUUUAAAUUAAGCAUGGUGCUUAGGUUAAAAUGCCCUCCUAAAUCAAAUUAGACAUGGUGUCUAGGUUGAUUUUUGAGCCGAUAGUAGGCUAUAGUAGAUAUUGGAUAUUUUGUUGGACUAACCCCUAUAGGAAACUUCCAAUAUCGACCUGGGAAGUCCUGAGAUAAACUGUCACACCCAUAUUUUAAGAACAAAAUAGGAUGCAUAAAAGACUCAUAUGUGCCCCAGGAAUAGUCACACACAUAAGUAGACAAAUCUCAAAUGUACCAUUGCAGUGUUUAUUACAUAGCGGAACAUAAUAACUCACAUAGUCUUACACAAAAAUACUAUCAAAAGGUAAACAACGCUCUCGACGGAAGCUCCACACAGGGACACUGUUGACUGGUUGACUCCAAACCUAGUACUCAUAACGGUAGUCCUCAUUCCAAUCAUCAUCAUUAGCAUAACCUGAGGUGUUGGAAAAUUGCAAGAGUGAGCACAUAUCGUACUCAACAAGUAUAACCAGGGGUUCAUGAGGCUCAAAAAGCUGACACUGGUUUGACUGCAUUUAGCUUUUAAUAGUUGAUAGCAUGUUUAAUCAUUGGAUAGCAAAUGUCAAGGUAGCAUAACAAAUCCCAUAACCACAUGAUCAAUGUAUACAAGAAUUAAGAAUAACACAUAUAAACAACAUAAUAAACCAUCGUUUAUUAUCAUUAUUCACGUUCAUGAGUGUCCAUCUAUUCCGUCAGUUUUUCAGGCCGCCCGUAUCCGUGGGCACGGCUAGUAUACCAGAUUUAACACUCUGCAGAGGUUGUACAUCUUUACCCAUGAGUCGUGAUUUACCCUUUCGCCCGAGGUGAUCAGCCUCUUAACCCACUACCAAGGAAGGUCGGUAGGGUUCACUAUGAAGUCUUUCAAAGGUUCGUCUAACAUGUUAGGGCUGCAAGGUUUCCUUUGCGCGUAGAUAUAGAUACCCCCCUUCCGAAUGGCACAAUGACGCGCAGCCUAUACACAUAGGGACAGGGCUCGCACUAUACCCAAAACGAUUCAGCCCCUCCGCCCUUUCGGGUAACCUCUAACAAGCUAGAAAAGCUUACUCAUACUUGACUAAAGCCAGAGCCAUAUAGCCCUCAUGGUUGUACGAGUUGUCCCAGCUUUUGCCAAGGGAUAAGUCCUUAUGGAGGGUCAAGAUCAAUCCAGCAAAAGCCAGAGUUCUUUCCACCCUUUAUAUUCAAGUUGCUAGAAAGCUUAUUUUAUUGUUUAUUGUAUAUUCAAAUAUUCAUGUUACAAGAUCAUGGAUUAAUAAUCAAGCACUAGCAAGAACUACCAAAUGCAUAUCCAAAAUAGGUAACAAGGAAUCCAGGAUAACAAUCAUCUAUGAUUUUGCUAAUGUCAUCAAGGUGAUAGCAUGCAUAUGAUAAAUGUUAUAUUAAUUGUGUAUAGGUAACAAGGAUAAUACCAAGUUAUACUUGCCUUGAUCAAAGCUCUCCUGAGCCUGCUGGUCUUCAAAUACUUGAUCUUGAGCACCAACGUACGGCUCACCGUUUAAUCCCAAUCAUCAAUCAACAACACGCAAUCCAAUGUAGACAAUCAUACACGAAGCAAACAAGAUAUAAUUAGAACAAUACACCAAACAGUAGUAAAACAAAUAUAAAAGUUUAUCAAAAUAUUCUACGCAGCUCCACGGUCACAUAAACGUAAAGUUCACGAAAAUCGGAAUUAAAAUGGAGAAGUUAUGCAUUUUCCAAGAUUUCCUAUAGAGAAAUAAUUAAUUAAAUGCUACUGCAGAAUUAAAAAGUUUCAAAACAGUAAACUAAUACUUCUAACACGUAGAGCUCACUGAAACGAAUCUAACGCAACUUGGAUGGACAAAAACGGAGUUAAAAUGAGCAUUUUAUGGCCUAAACAAACUCAAUGGCAUUUUUGUGAAUUCUGGAAAACGUAAACUGAUCCAACCAGUGAGAAUACGUUUUCAAAACAGCAAUACGCGUUUAAGAAAGGCGCCAGGGGGACUGCAGGUUUGAUUAAGAAGAAACCGAGGGUCUCUUUAAGAAAACGCGCAGCGAAGGGGUACGUUUUAAUUUCAGCCAUCCGAUCUACAUCUGACGGCUCUCGGAGGGCUUGGGGAGAAACCGGCCGGCCGGCGGCGAGCCCUCCACGGCAGACGCCAUGGCCGGCGCCUGAGCUUCGCCGGAGCUCCCAGAUCUCGCGAAAUCCUACGCCAAAAACAAAACCGAGGGCAUCGGGGGGUGGAGGAGCAUGAGGCGAGCUUACCUACGGGGUUUUCUCGGGCCGAGGACAACCAGGGCGCUCUUGUCGCGGUGAGGGAAGACGCUCGGCUCGGCGAGAUCUCAAAGGCGUAGAUGGAGGCGGCUAGGGCUUCCUAGAAUACGACAGAAAGCAAACAGAUGCCUCGGGGAGUUCCUAGGGCCUUUAUAGGGCUUGGCACACGGGAUAGGAAGGUGAGCACGGGAUUUUCGGGAUCGGCUCGGCACUGGGGAAGAAUGAAUCCUGGUCGGAUACGCGGGGAAGAAAGGGGAGGGCUUGUUGUCAUGUGGGGCCCGGUCGUCGGUGGGGGAGAGGAAGCUGACACGCUGGCCCAGGGUGUCAGCGCCAAGGAGCUAGGGAGGCGCGCGCGCUGGGCUGGUCUGCUGGGCCGGUCCCCGCUCUGGGCCGCACGCGGGGAGGGAAGGAAGGGGGAACCAAGGGAGAGUUGGGCUGCGGGGGAAAAAAAUGGAAACGGGGCCGAGAGCAGGUGAGCUCCUUCCCCCUUUUUUUAUUUCUCUUUUUUUUCCUAAAGCAUUUUCCAAAUGGAAUUUGAAUCAAAUAAAUUCAAACAAAAAGGGCAACAACACAGAAUCAAAUAUGCUCCAUCAUGAAAUGCAAAAUUCAAGUUUCUAAACUUAUGAUAAAUUUUAUUUUCCACCAAAAAUUACAUAUUCACUAAAUUAAAUGCUCACAAUAAUACUUAAAUAAAUCAAAUUAAAUCCUAUUAUUUGAAAAUCAAAUUUUGGGUGUUACAUAAACUCACACUAGAGAUAAAGAGAGAGACACAUGAAGUUUAACAAUUUACACAAGGAAGACAUAGCUCAUAGAGAUGAUCCAUAGAGGGUGCCACAAACACGAAACACAAUCGCUAAAAAAGGAAAGCUUCCACAAGGUGAUACAGUACCAUCACUCUUCAAGUAAGGUAACAUCUUAAGGUACUUAACUAUCACUUUUAUAAGCUUCUCCUUGGUUCUGGCGUUCAGAAGAAUAAAGAGACAAACAUAAAUUAACCAACCCAAUUAAUUCAACAUGUUUAGACCUUUAAUCUUUGUUCUUAGUACUACCUUCCUGAUCCCACACUCCUAAUCAUAUAAGCUAAAAUAUUGCACACUCAAUCUUUGGAAGAUAUAUAUAAAAAAACAAACAAAAAACAUGAAUAUAGAUAGAUUAUCUUUCCAUUAGGUUGAGCGAUCUGAUCCGACAAAUGUUUUAAAUGCUACACUCAUGAUCUUAUUAUCCAUCAACUUUGUCUAGCUCACUAUGCUUAAGGUUAGAGAAGAACAAAUACACUUUUGGUUCUGUUGGUGUUUUCCACCAACAGGGCCCAUGCACUUGAUCUCUGCCUUAUCUCUAUGAGCAGGUACACUUCAAGCAAAACAUGGAGGAGUUUUACAACUCGCAGACUCCACCAAGUGAAGGACCUGGAUCUACGAGCACAAACACACUGAGCAGGAUAUUGCCAAUGCCGCACUUCGAACUGCUGGGCAAACGAAGAAUAUACGUGACACUGUAUCAAGAGGUGUAGACGUCAAGGUCCACACUUGGAUCAAAUGACGCACCUAAAGAAUAAACACGGUGAGAAGUCUUGUUCAGAAGACUUAAAACAUUGAACCCUCGCCGAAAGGUAAAAUCGGUAGUUAUCCAUAUUUAUCCUUUCUGCAUUUUUCCUUAAAUUAUUUACUUUCCUUAAUUAGCUUGUUUGUUAAUCAUCCUACCAUGAAAAGAAAUUAAAAAUGUUAAAAACAGUAAGCCCCAUGUGAGUAUGCUCGAGCCAUAAAACCCAUAAGUACAUUCACUGUGGUGGCGUAAAAAUAAAAUAUUCCAGUCCUAUAAAAAUGAAAAUAUAAAAUUAAAUUUAUGAUCCUACCAAAGAGAGUAACAUUUAUUGAGGAGGCUCAAUAUGAUAAAGGCUAGAUAUUUAUGCUAACAAUUAACCAGUUCCACAAAGCUUUGUUGUCUAUUUGAGCUCCACAGAAUUCAAGGAUCAAAGAAGACUAGCAGACGGAGGACAUCCUAAUCACUGUCAGGGUGCUAGCGACAUUCAAAUACACCUCCACCACCUGCUAGCUACAUUAGAAGAAAUUACGUCAAAAUCCAGCUCGUGGGAGAGCACCCCCAUUUAUCCAGCUAAGUGUUUCUACUCGCGUUUAUACUUUACUCAAAUAAUAAAAAAGAUGCAUAAUCAUAAAAACCCAAAUAAAGAUUUUGUGCUUUUAUAUAUAUCUUUGCUUAGUUUGCUAAAUAAAUAAAUAAAUAAAGUUUGCUAUGAACCCUCAUGAUAAACUCUUACAUGGAUAUGAUAAAUAGUUGCUCUGUCAUGUACCUAGUUUUCAAGUUUGAGCUCUCUCUUAAGUUUAGGCAUAACUGUUAUAAUUUAAAUUUGGUCUAAACCUGAACUUGUGGGAAGAGUACGUGAUCAAAAGUCUAAGUCGUUAACGGAUAUGAUAUGGGAAGGUUGAGCUGCUGUUUAUCUAUUCCUAGAGAUACUAGAAUUCUGGAGAAUUUUAUCUUUGAAAAUCUUUAAAAUAUUGCAUGAUAAGUUCUUGUAUGAUGAGAGCUUAAAAUCCUACCACAGCCAUAUAUACAUGCUUAUUAGACUAUGAACCAUACAUUUACUUUUCACUGCUUAUGAGCAUUGAGUGUGGUCAAGCUGUGUAGAACCUUAGGAGCUUGUCAUACGGUUAAAAUCAAGAUUCACUUGCAUGUUCAUUCAUACAUGCUACUUCUACUUCGGAAGUACGCAUCCACAUACAUUCACUCAAUUCCAUCUUCAGAUUCACCUAAAAUUAUUCUACUCCUAUCCGGGAGAGAAUAGCCAAAAACUUUUUCCUAUCCCUGUUAUUCCCUGUGAAAUAAAUGCUCCAGUUAUUUUGGUUACUACCAGUUGCUACAUUAUUCUAGGAGGGUGAGUGCUCUAAAAAAAGAAGAAAAAAGAAAAAAAGAAGAAAAAUAUGAGGAAAUAAAAAGGGGAAAGUGCCUGGAACCUCGAAGAAAAGAAAAAGUGAGACGAGAGGUAAAAAAUGGACAAGUGUCCGAUAGUAGAAUUAGGGGUACAAGAUACCCACCUCAGAGAAAAGAAAAAGAAAAUAUAGAGCAUCUCAUUCUCCUCAAAAAAGCUUCAAACUGCAAGAAAGGUAUAUAUCCCGUAAAAAGAGCAAAAGUAGAAUUAGACUUUCACCAUUGUUAUCACCAUCAUCACCAUACACCAUUCAUUCGCCACACAUGCACAUCUUGAUUUGACUUAUUGACUUGUUUCUCUAGAUCCAUGGUUUGACUAUGCAAUAAAUGUCUUGUAAGUAUGUAUGCUUUAUCUCCCACCUAUGAGCUCCAGAUAUCAAAACCUUAUUAGAGUAGGGAGAGAGAGAAGGCAAUAUCACUAUGCCUCAUACCAAAAAUACCACAUACUUUGAGAGAAGGCAUAUACCAUUACUGCCUUGGAAAGGAUCCAGAAAUACCACAAAAGAGAGAUUUGAGAAAGUCAUACAAGGAAUCUCUGAGUUUUAUUUGAAAAUCUACAAAAACUCCAGAGCUAUAGCUGAUCAAAGAACAAGAGACAUGGCGCUUGACUAGACUGUUCUAUCUUUUAACUGCUCAAGACACAAGUGACGGUUGCAAGCCUCAUGGUGAAAGGUAAAAUGAGUAAGUUUUAAGUCUUAACAGUUUACUCUAACUCAGAGAUGAGAUCUUGCUUGAAUGCAUGUGUACUUUUAAGGCAUGAAACCACUGCAGAAACUCAUGAGUCCAUCCUUGCUCAGGGACGAGCAAGAGGUAAGCUUGGGGGAGUUGUUGACGGUCCUUAAGUACCAAAUAUAAUCAUCAAAAAAAUAAAGAAAAGGAUCCAAAUGCAACCAACACCUAGACUUAGGGUUUUAUCUGACAGAAUUCCACAAGUUUUGGUGUUUGUCUAUUUCUGCAGGGGGUUAUCAGGAAAUAUGGAAAAAAUGCCCACAAGUCGGGUUUACAUAGAGCUAUUAACGUGCCGUGCAAUUUUCUAUCAUCUAGAAGACUCCAGAAGCCACGGGAACGAACGGGAGGCUGAUCGGGCCCGGGGGCAGGGCGCCCGCCCACAUCUAGUGGCCAAUCAGGGUGAAUCACGCGGAUUAUCCUCCACGGCCUUUAAGGAUCAAGGAAAACCGUGCGAUUAAGGUCGGUUUGAUCCAACGGCCCACGUUCAUUUGGAGGGGCUAUAGAAGCUGGCCCCCUGGCCCCUGGAGGAGAGCAAUCCCCAUUGUUCAUUAGCAUAUUUUCUAAAGAGGAUUCAGAGAGAGAUGUUCCUUAGGGUUCCCACCUCAUAGGGCUUAGCAUCCAAUGUGAGAGUAGAAUUAUUUCUACUAGAUUGAGAGAGAUAGAGUGGAGGUGU